This 54079-nucleotide long non-coding RNA is filed under the name Populus trichocarpa (black cottonwood). RNAcentral describes it as "long non-coding RNA (PTRI_LNC000463)". The stretch from base 36631 to 36753 matches the Rfam family "MIR480 microRNA precursor family". Lineage: Eukaryota; Viridiplantae; Streptophyta; Magnoliopsida; Malpighiales; Salicaceae. The record is from RNAcentral.
UUGGAGUGACGCAGAUACCGAGGAACAGUUGUGGGGCCACCAUUGGUGAGCAGUGAUACAGUGGCAAGUAUGUGAAAUAACGCAUAUUACAGUGCGCAAUGAUAGAGUGAGUCUGGGUGGACAAACUUUUGGUGGUACACGUGGUGCUUAAUGAUUUGACGGCUAUGGAGAGAAGUUACAUGAGGGAAAUAAGAUGGAAAAAGUGGCCUCUCUAGAUUUUGGAAAUGUUCUCUGAAGAAAGAAAGAAAAUAAUUUCAAAGGUGGACAAAAAUAGGGUAAUAUCAGAUUUGGAACAUAAUCUUGGUUGGUGAAGAAUAACAUAAUCUAAGGAGAAAUCUAGGGAAAGCCAGUGAGAUUUGAGCUUCGAUUUGGGACCAAUUUAUAGCUGGAUAAUACCAUCAUGGGUUAUCAGAUUCUGUGUGUGUGAGGCUGCCAUAUGUUUCUUUCUUCUAUGAUGGAUAAAAAACGCUAAGCAAUUAACCCACCUAGUAAAAAAGGUAUUAUGGUUAUGAUAAAAACUCUACAGCCUGUGAUUCUAUUUUUGAAGAUAUUCUUAUUAUAUUUAUAAUUAUAAGAAUCUUUAAAAAAGACACGGGUAAAAUAUUAUUCUCACAUCACUAUUCACUGGUGUUAUCGGCUUAAAUUGAUAGAUAAUUAAGUAAAUUUAUUGAGGAAAAGCAAAAUUUAAAUAUAGAUAAUCAAAGUGAAAACAAAAGCGCAAAAAAAGAUGGUAGUUUCAUGAUUGAAGUUAAAAAUUCACUUUGAUUCUUAUUUUUUUUUAAUCAAUAAAAAAUUCGGCAGAGUUUUCUCUAUAUUUUUAGGUAUCAAGUUAUCGACUUUUCAUCUACAAUCCCUAAUUAUCAAAUUUCUUACUCAUCCUAUCAUCCAGGACUUCCUCCUCUCAUUACAUCACAACUUCUAAAUAAUCAAAUUCACACAUGUCUAAACAAUUCAAUAUCCCACAUUUACAUGGAUACAAUCCAAAGAAUUGUUCUACAAAUUAUAACUGAAGUACAUUACACAAUUCAAAAAUUUACAAAUAAGGACCAUUAACGAAAUUAUAAUCGAAAUAAGUACGUAAUUAAAGAAGAAAUUCAUAAUUAAGAUUAUACUACACAAAAGAGCUUUCGAUAAACUGUUGACGCAUUAUAUUACAUAACAAAAUGAUAAAUUCAUUCAUUACAAAAAAAAAAAUACCAAACAAAAUAUAAGAAAACUAAUCUACUGUUCAAUCCGAUAGGGGGAUGUACCUGAAAAUUAAUUUAAUACAAUAAUUCGAUUAGACAGAUGAAGAAAAGAUAUCCAUAAAAUUCUUUUUACUUUCUUUCUUUCUUCCUUUUUUUUUUUUUUGAAAAUUUAGUCAAAAGAUCAUUAAAUUAACUUGCUCAUAUAGUAUUAUAUAUAUCAAUUAAAUUUCAGAAUAAUCUAUUAGUUUGUUUUCUUUUUCUUUUUUAACAUCAACCAAAAAAAUAAUUAUUCUCAUCGCCCAAUUAACCCGGCAUUACUUUCACUAAUAGAUGAUUAAUUUUCCACCAGUCCAUUCAACAAGCACUAUUGUCAUCAAUCCAAAAAUUAGUUUAACGUUUAAUCCAUUCAUCAGGGUACAAAUCCCAUUAACCAGGAAAAUUAAUUCUUCAUCUCGCCUAUUAAUUUGUCAGGGCACUAAUUCUAUUAAAUCAGGAAUUAGUUCAACAAUUUACCCAUUAACCAAGGACUUAAUUCCUCAUCACGCCCAUUCACUAGGACAUUAAUCCCAUUAGUUCAAGAAUUAAUUCAUCACAUCGCAUAUCUUAUUUUUUAAAAUAAACAAUAAAAUAAUUACUAAUUUAUCAACCAUAAUUAAUCAAAUAAAAAUACAUAUUAACCAAUAAUAAAUUCGGGCACCGUGUAAUUACCUAACGACUAAGCUCGAGCUGAAAUUCCCUGCUGUGGUGUCAGCCUGACAGCUUCUCUUGAAUUGACAAAUAUAUCACAUCAUUAUUCUACUUUCCAUAUUGAAACACUCAAUAAAUAAAAUCAUUCCAAUUAUCCUUUUAUUUAUCAAAAUAAAAUCAUUUUGUAAAUUUCCUUCCUAUUCUUCCAAUUUCCACAUUGUAACACAAUUCAUUUCAUCAUUCAAAUCAAUAUAUAUAUAUAUUCUUUAAAUUUAUUUAUUUAUUUUUUACCGUAAUUUAAAUCAAAGAAAAACAUAAAAACAUUUCAUGAUCUAUUCACUCUUUAACAUUAAUAUCAUCUCUUUCUUACACAAUCUCAUCAUCUUAUCAAAAUUCUUAAAUUUUUAUUUUUCUUAUUAUUAUUUUUCCAAAAAUCCCUUCUUCAAGAACACCUAAAAUUUUGCUUUAAUUACCAUAAUUUCUUACUUUCUCUACUCACUUCAAUAAUCUUAACACAAUUUCACAAUCAAUUGUAAUUUUUCAUAAAAUUUAUCAUGAACCCUAAUUCUUCAAUUCACAAAGUUCAAUCAAUUUAAAACAUAAAUUCUUCAAGAAUCUUAUUUAAAAGUGUAAGGGCACCUUACCAAGCAAUAACCAAAGCCUUAACACUUUUAAAUUAAGAAAUUUUCCUUGCUUGAAUUUGUUUUUCCUCUCCUAGCCGAAUGCUUCCUUCUCUUUGAAAAAGCAAGUUUGUUCUUUUUUUUUUUGGCUUCCUUACAACACACACUCACUUGCACUCAUAUAUAUCAAUUUUUUCUCCCCCCCCCCUCCCCUUCCCCCCCACACUUACACACAUAUAAUUACUUAACUUUUAAAAAAUGCCUUUUAUAUCCCUCAAUACUAAAUUUUAUGAUUUUUGGGUAAAAUUUCAUGAAUCCUGACUCCUGUUUAUACCAAAUUUUACACGGGUUAUUUCAAAUUUCACUCAAUUACUCGUUAGUACUUUCAGUUUCAUGAAAUUCACUUUCAUAAAAAUUCUAUUCAUAUUUUUGUGUUUUUUUAUUUAUUUUUAUAUAUAUAUUACUAUUUAUCUGGUAUCAGAGCCUAUUGGGAUCUGGGUGGGAAUAGUAACAUAAAAGCCAGUAUUCUUAGAAAGAACAAGAGACCAUUAGACUAUAGGUAUGCAACUGAAUGGUGUAAGUCCCGUUUGAGUUUUAGGGCAAUAAAUCCAUAUAACUUGCAGCGUGUUCCCUAGUUUAUCUUUCCUUUCUAUGGAUUCCGUCUUUCACAGGACUACUUCUCUUUCAGCUUCCUCUACCUCUGAAUCUUCUGAAAGCAGAAGAAUAGUACAAAGUGAAGAGAUAACUAUUGAAGACUUUACAAAAAACAUUGAUGACUGGAAAAUUCCAAAAAUUUCUCAAACUCAGAUUUAUCAAAAAUCUAAAUAUGAUAUUUUCAAAACAGAUUUUACUAUCAAAACUGAAGAGCGAGAUAUUCAGCUUACCAAACCUUUUGAAACCAUUCAACUCCUCUCUCAAAAAUCCUUACAAAAACAUCUAGCCCGAAACUAUAAAUAUAUUCAUGUUGGCCUUGUCCAGAUUGGAAUAAAACCCCUUACAAAAGAAGGCUUAAACACCUCUAUUCUAGCUGUCCUCCGUAAUGCUAGAUUUCAAAACUUCCAAGACUCCCUCCUCAGUUCUAUUGAGUCUAGUCUUUGCAGUGGGCCGAUAUCAUUUGACUGUUAUCCAAACAUAACCAUACCCCUCAAAGACAAAAAUAUCUUGCAGAGUAUGCUACUACAAAUAAAGACCCACAACUAUGACAUGCUAAAAGGAUCUAUCCCUGUUGCUCUCAUAUUCAAAAUCCAUUACAAAGCCAUGUUCUCAGCCUUUGCCAGCAAAGACAAAUUCCAAUCUCAAAAAGGUGAAACACUCCUACUACAAACAGAUUUAUCCCGCUCAAACACUGUUGUCCCAAAAGCAAUCCAAUGGAAAGACAUAUCCCUACCAGAAGAUUGGAUCCUUGAAGGUGCAGCACCACCAGAACUACCACCACCACCUCAACCCAAUGUCCAAAUUAAAAAUAUUACCCAAUAUACAGAUGGAAAAGUGAAACUGUCUUUCCACCGACACUCUACAAGUUCCAGAUUCUCAGAAGCCUCUUCCUCUUCCAGUACAAUAGAUUUGGGAAGAAUUUCCAAAAUCCCUUCUGUUAUCAAUAUCCCUUAUCACGAAAACCUUCCAAGAAAAUCUACAUCCGAUAUCCCUUCUCCUAGUUUCCAAAAUGCAGACUAUACUACAAAUAUACCAAAACCUGUCUAUACAAACCUUGAGCAACCAUCUCCUCCAACUUCACCGACCUUUUCAGCUAUUACUGAAAAUAUCCAAAACGAGCUGAAUGUUUUGACUUCAGAGAAACAUUUCGUUCUUGACAAAACACUUUUCAAAAAGGAUUUCUAUUCGGCCUGUAACUCUACAAAACGAAUUUGGUUUUUUCAAAACUUUCUCGAGCAAAGAAGUGAAAUACAAAAACAAUUUUAUAAUUUCAUUGAGCUACAUAAAAUACAAAUUCUAUUCUUUGAUUGAUUCGAAUUAUAUUAUGCAUCUGAACAUCACAUUUCAUAUCCUUUUGCAUCAAUUAAGCAUGCAUGCCCGGUCACAUCCAGGUCAAAAACCCAUGUAUGGAACCUCACCAGUGGACCUACAGUUGAGUCUGAACAUCCACAUUUGAGAAAUAUCCAAAUAACCCAUAAUAACCAGACUGUCGAGGCAGCCCCUUACAAAAUAUCCACUGAUGACACCCUUUCCAAUACAAAACACAUCAUUAACCAAAACAACUUUACAAACACCAACCUUAAUACCUUGGGAAAACAGCUUACACGGCUUGAGAAACAAAUACAAAGAACUGCUACAAGUUCAGCUGGCAUUAAAACCUCAACCGACUUAAAGCUAAAAAACCCAGUCUUCAAACCCUACCAAAUUACAAAAACCAGCCAAACACAGAUCCAAGAAAACCAAACAGAUUUUCUUAAAGCUAUUAAAACGCAUCUACAACACCUUGACAGUUCAUCUUUAACUGUCCCUGACACACCACAAAUAACCAACCCUUCUACCUCUACAAAUCAAGUCAACACUUUACAGAAUAGUCCUCAGGAAUCUUCUGAUGAAGGUACUUCUCCACGAAAACCUCUUACCCUAAACAGACUUACCUGGCAAACUCCCAAAACAACCAUUGCCCCAGACAUUUCCAUAACUACUGAACCAACUAUUCUUACUCAACACAAGUAUAAUGCCUCUUCCCUCUAUGAAUGGAAUAUAGAUGGAAUGUCCGAAUAUAAUAUCCUAAACACUCUCCAACAAAUGACCAUGGCAGCGAAUGCUUACAAAACCCAGACAGGAACCCCAGAUAAAGCUAUUGCUGAGCUCCUUAUUAAUGGUUUCUCCGGCCAAUUAAAAGGAUGGUGGGAUUACCAUCUCACUGACACUGAUCACCUGCAUAUCCUAAACUCCUUCCAAACAUAUGAGGACCAAACACCCAUCCUUGACCCAUUCGGAAACACCAUCCAAGACGUUGUGUCAACCCUUAUUCUUACAAUUUCCCUACAUUUUGUUGGAGAUCCUUCACAUUUGAAAGACAAAAAUGUUGAACUCCUUUCCAACCUUAGAUGCAAGAAACUAAGUGACUUUCAAUGGUACAAAAACACCUUCCUUACCCGUGUCAUGCUUAGGGAAGAUUCAAACCAACCCUUUUGGAAAGAAAAAUUCCUUGCAGGACUACCUAUUCUCUUAGGAGAAAAGGUUAGAAACAAAAUCAAAGAUACCUUCACAACAAAAACCAUCCCAUAUGACCAGCUCACAUACGGUGAACUUGUAAGCAUUACUCAAAAGGAAGGUCUGAAGAUCUGUCAAGAUCUUAAACUCCAGAAGCACCUAAAGUGGGAAAUGAAACGUACCAGGCAAGAACUUGGUAGUUUCUGUCACCAGUUCGACCUUUCCACCAAAAAACCCUCCUGUAACGGAAACUGUUCACAUCCCAAAAAAUAUUCAAGCCAGAGACCUCCUUAUAAACGAUCACUACAUAAAAACCGACAACAAUUCUAUUCUAAACCAGAUCAACCUUACUACAAAAAGCCCUAUAAAUUUACCAAGCCCCACAAACCUUUCCAGUCGAAACCUAAAACAAAAUUUGAUCCCAAAAACAUUACCUGUUAUAAAUGCAACCAGAAAGGACAUACAUCCCGUUUCUGCAAGGUCAAUACUAAACUUCAUGAACUCCAAAUAGAUGAAGACACCAUCAACCAAAUACAAAAUCUCUACAUUGAGGCUACAGACACUGACCACUCUCCUUCAGACACUUCUGAAGAAGAAUUCCAAAUCGAUGAAAUAGCAACCACCAGUGCUACUUCAGAUGCCUCUACAAAUUCCAAACAAUUCAACGUCUUGACCCAAGAUCAAGAGUUCAUUCUUGAGGCUAUCAAACGACUUGAUGAUCCUCAACUUCAAAAAACCUAUUUGGAUAAAUUAUUGAAAGACUUCAGCCAACCGGAGCACCCCCAGUCUAACCGCUCUAUAUUAACUUCUGCCAGCACCAAUACCUAUGAUCUUACAAAAAUUCUUGGCAGAAAGAAAUCCAAAACCACAGUCACCAUUCCAGAACUACAGUCUGAGAUAAAAACCCUCAAAUCAGAAUUGCAAAUCCUCAAACAAGCCCAACAGAAAGACUCUGCCAUACUACAACAUCUUCUGUCCAAAAUUGAAAGCCCGUCUGAUACUGAGUCUGAUACAGAGGAUCAAACCAUUGAAUCUCAUGCAUUACCACAUACACUUACAAAUAUUGAGCAUAUUCCAGAUGAUUUCUUAAACGUUCUAACCCAAAUAUCUUCCAAGAAAUAUUUAAUUCGAAUUACUCUUGUUUUCUCAGAAGAUUUCAAGCUUGAUACUAUUGCCUUAUUUGACACAGGUGCAGAUUUGAACUGUAUCAAAGAAGGCGUGGUUCCAAAAAGAUUUUUACAAAAUACCUAUGAAAAACUCUCUGCUGCUAACAAUUCCAAAUUACACAUUGCAGGCAAAACCCAAGCCUCUGUUUUCAAUAACGACAUUUCUCUUAAAACAUUUUUUGUUGUUACAAAAGACAUCAAUCAUACCAUCAUUCUUGGCACUCCAUUUAUUGACAUGAUCACUCCAUAUCAAGCACGUCAUAACUGUAUUACUUCCAAAAUUAAUAACACCAAACUUGUUUUUUCAUUCUUAGAAAAAUCUAAGACUAGGAAUUUAAAUUUAAUUAAAGCAUGUUCCAUACAUACCUGUCAUAUCAAUGCACUAAUUCAUGGGAAACAAUUCCAUCUACAUGAUUUACAAAACCAUGUUUCUUUUUGUCGUAUCAACAAACAAUUACAAAGUUCUGAUUUACAAAAGAAAAUCAUUGAUUUCCAAAAUAAGAUUGAACAACAGAUAUGUUCAGACUUACCCAAUGCUUUUUGGAAGCGAAAACAACACAUCGUUGAUCUUCCUUAUGAAGAUACAUUUUCAGAAAAACUAAUCCCUACAAAAGCAAGACCUAUACAAAUGAAUGCUGACUUAGAACAGCAUUGCAGACUUGAAAUCCACGAUCUCGAGUCUAAAGGUCUUAUCCAAAAGUCUAGAUCACCCUGGUCGUGUGCGGCCUUUUAUGUCAAUACAAAUUCUGAAAUUGAAAGGGGCACACCAAGACUUGUGAUCAAUUACAAACCUCUCAAUUCUGCUUUAAAAUGGAUCAGGUAUCCAAUCCCAAACAAAAAAGAUUUAUUACAAAAAUUGCACUCCGCAUUCAUAUUUUCUAAGUUUGAUAUGAAAUCUGGAUUUUGGCAAAUCCAAAUUGAUCCCAAAGAUAGGUACAAAACUGCUUUUACAGUUCCUUUUGGCCAAUAUGAAUGGAAUGUCACUCAAAAAUACACCAUCCGAAUUUCAACGCAUCAUGAAUGACAUAUUCAAUGCACAUUCAAAAUUCUGCAUUGUUUACAUUGAUGACGUGCUCAUUUUUUCACAUUCCAUAGAACAACAUUUCAAGCAUCUACAUAUAUUUUUUCAUACUGCCAAACAAAAUGGUUUAGUUGUUUCUAAAACAAAAAUUUCUCUUUUUCAAACCCGUGUCCGUUUCCUCGGUCAUUACAUCUGCCAAGGUACCGUAAUACCAAUAGAGAGAUCUUUAAACUUUACAAAUAAAUUUCCUGACAAAAUCACUGAUAAAACCCAAUUGCAAAGAUUCUUAGGAAGUCUUAAUUAUGUCUUGGACUACUAUCCCAAUAUUAGUCGUCUAUCCAAACCCUUACAUGACAGGUUAAAAACCAACCCCAUUCCUUGGUCUGACCUCCAUACCAAUCUAGUCAAACAGAUUAAGAAACAGGUCCAAACUAUUCCUCUCCUCCAUUUAGCUAACCCUUUAGCCCCUAAGAUUGUUGAGACUAACGCCUCUGACCUAGGGUAUGGUGGAAUUCUUAAACAGUUACAAGAUAACAAAGAACAAAUAAUCCAGUACACAUCUGCCCACUGGAAUGACUGCCAGAAAAAUUACUCUACUAUUAAAAAGGAAAUCCUUUCAAUUGUUCUUUGUAUUACAAAAUUUCAAAGUGAUUUAUUAAACCAAAAAUUUCUCUUACAUGUUGACUGCAAAUCUGCAAAAGAAGUUCUCUAAAAAGAUGUCCAAAAUCUUGCUUCCAAACAAAUCUUUGCCAGAUGGCAAGCCAUUUUAAGUAUCUUUGAUUUUGAUAUUGUUUACAUUAAAGGAGAAUCAAAUUCCAUCCCUGAUUUCCUAACCCGAGAAUUCCUUCAAAACAGGUCUUGAUGCCUCCUAAAGCAAAAGCCAAGGACAAGGGAAAAGCCCCUCAAACACAGCCUACAAAACCAGAGAGCCCCAAGCCUUCUACAAAACUCAUGUCUUCCGCCAUCCUCGCUGCCAAGCCUAUCAAAUCUUGGUAUGAGGCAGUUAUUGAAGAUGAAGAAACUACAAAACCACCACAAGUACAAACAGACGCAGUUCAACAUUGGGUUGACACUAUAUCCAAAUCGCCAGAAUUACUCCUGGCAUUGCAAAAAGUAUCCCAACAAGCCUCCAGUGACUCCGUGUCUCAAACAGGUAGUAUUUCCAAAUCACUUUCAAAACCCCAAGGAGGCAUUUUAUCUUCAAAACCCCUCCUUUCCUUACAACAAACAAGUUUUCCAAAAACCAAAUCCAAAUAUAUUUUCAAAAAUGCUUUCCAAAACAUUUUAACUAUGGAAGAAGGAUUUUACCAUGAAAACCCUUCCAUUGCUGCUUCAAAAAUAUUCCCUCCAAAAUGGCACUAUAAACCUUGAAAUCUAGCUCAACCACAAUCCUAUUAUGCAACUAUCCUUGAAAUUACCGAUUCUAUCGAAUUCAAACACUUCAAAUUACAUUCUGAUCACACUGAACCAGCUUACUCUACAUGCAUUAUUCACAAAGUCAUCCACCCUAAAGAUUGGGGACAACCCCUGCAUCAACCUCUCUCCUUCCCAAUACAAUACCGCACAAGCCCCCAAGACUUCAAUACCUCCUACACAUAUUGGGAUUACCAACAGGCAUGGUUUAAUGCCUUCCUCAUACAAAAUCAAAAUCAUAGCCAUUCUUGGCUCUUCUACUUCCACAAUACCAUGAAUACUACAAAUCUCUCCCUCUGGUUCCUUCAAUGGUGGGACUUUUAUGGUUGUCAUGUUGAUUACCUUAAAGAACAUCCUUUAGUUGAAAAUGGUUAUCUACAUUUCAAAAACAAUUUCCAACCAGCUCCCUCUGAAAGAAAGUUUUCUUCCCUCCUUAUCUUCUAUACAAAAUUUUUUGUUCCGUGGGUAUGUUCAUGGUUCUUUGAUUAUAAUUUACAAAACGGACAUCCAGUACUUAUUCGCAAAUUCAAAAUCAAGUGGUGGGAUUCCUUUGCAGCUGAGUCCAAAAGUUCAAAAUUAGCUGUUACGGAAUGGUUACAAAAACAUCAAACAACUCCCAUCAUCGAUCCUCAUCCUCAAUCAAAGUUCUUAGCCAGAAAGGCCCAAACGGCAGCUCUCCUUGCCUCUGCUAGAACUGAGGAAGAAUACCUACAAAUAGUACAAGGAAUUAUGCAAAGCCAAGACCCAGAAACAGUCUUGUCCCAAUCCAGCUCAUCUGGCUCAACAUCUCCUGCCAUUUCCCUCGACAAUGAUAAUGAAGAUGACUGUUUUGGUAUCCUGCCAUCUAUCACGUGACGUUAAAAAAAAAUAAAAAAAAAAAGAGUAUUUCAGGUCUUUUUAAGGCUCAUCUGUUUAGAGCCCAUUUUGGUCUUUUUUAAUGCUCAUCUGUUUAGAGCCCAUUUUGGUCUUUUUUAAGGCUCAUCUGUUUAGAGCCCAUUUUGGUCUUUUUAAGGCUCAUCUGUUUAAGAGCCCAUUUCUUUUAGACUCAGAUGUUUUGAGUCGUUUUUCGGCCUAUCUGUUUUAAGGCCUUUUUCUACAAAAGUUACUAGUUACUACAAACCCACCAAUCAAGUGUCGGUGGCAAGACGACAACAAACGAAGCUCAACCAAAAACGUGGACAAUUUCCAUUUUGUCGCCAUCCAAUCAAGGCAGACAGCACCACAUGGGCUUCUAUAGGUUCUGCCAAAUGCCACAUAGGUUCACAUGGGUCCUGAAGAGCUUCUCCAACAGGACAAUUUGGCCUCUUCCAUGCCAACUCGCCUAUAAAAGGCCACUUCAAAACCCUUAGAGGGCGGACUAAUCUUUCCCCUAGAAAAAAUUUACUCUCCCCUAAAAAUUUGUAACCCAUUCUCCUCUGUAACCAAUAUCUCCUGUCUUAAUUUUGUUACAAAUUUAAGUAAGAUAAUCUUAUUUUUAUCUACGUUUUUGUUAUAUCUGUUGUUGUUCUUUUUGUUACUUUUAAGUAUGCUCUGUGUUUGAUCAAGGAUCCUGACAUUGUUGGUCUUGCCUUGAUCAUUCGCAUCAGAAAUCUGUUUAUAUUGUUCUUUUCUUUGUUCUUUUAUACAAUCAGUAUAUAGGCUGGAAACCUAUGACCCGAUCUUUUAAAGAUCAUUCUCAGGUAUAACAACGCCACGUACUGUUUACUAUUUAUCUGUUUACUAUUUAUCUGUUCCUGUUUACUAUUAUAUAUAUAUAUAUUAACACCCGAACAAAACACUUCAAUUCAGAUUCUCGAAUAUAUCAUCAUUCUUAUAAUUUAAUUUAUCACUUUCCCUCAUUUUUCGUAAUCUUAACUUUUAUUAAUAUCAAUAAUAUUACCCGAGGUUUUAUAGUCUCAGUUGACACUGAUUUUCACCAUAAAAAAUGGUCGAUUUUUGUUUUAAUGAGUUUCAUUUGAUGAAGAGAGUUUCAUUGAAUUUUUUUUUUCCCUUGAAAUUGCCAAAAAAUUUAUGGUUUUUGGGCUAUUUUAUUAGUUUAUUACAUCAUAAAGACCAUUUUUAGGUGUUUUGGUGUGAACUUUGCUUAAAUUUGCAUUUUCGGGUCAAAAACACCCUGCUUAAUUUUCUAGUCACCUCUCCAAUGGUCAAGAACAGGAAAGUCUCGGUAGGUGACAUGUCGCUUUUUUUUUCAAAAUUAUUUGGAGCAUUUUCAAAUAAAAAAAGGCCCAUAUGUACCAACCCUUUUUAAAAUGGGCUUGAUGUGUAGGCCUGACUUACUAGGCCCAAAAGCACUUGAUCUAUUUCUAUUUUUUAAAAAAUUUUGUUUUCUUAAUUGAUAUUUUUUUUUAUGUAUUUUUAAUGAAUUUUUGAAUUUAUAUUUAAAUUAAUACUUUUCUCUCUAAAUAUUUAGAUUGUUUAUUUAGUUUUUUUUUUAAAUAUAGGUUAUCUUUUACUUAUCUUUUAUGUAUUUAAUAUCUAGAAAAAAUUAUUUCAAUUCAUCUAUAUGGUUUUUUUAUAUUUUAUAUGAAUAAACUUUAUUUUCAUGGCGUGUUUAUAAAAAUAAGAAUUAUUUGUUCUUGGUAAGAAAAAGUGACCUUUAAGAUAAAAAAAAAAAAAGAAGAAGAAAAGGAGAAAAGUGUGUAUGAAGAGGAAAGUUAAGGUUAAGUAUCAUAUUUAUGUAUCUUUUACUUUUAUGAAAAUGAUUAUCAUUUUAUUUUAUAAUUUGAUUGGCAUUAAGAACUCUUUAUUAGUUUAUUAGUUCAUAUUUUUGUAAGAUUUGUUUUUUACAUUUCUCAAUUAAGAGAAUCGUAAUACAAUGAAAUGCACUUGAAACAUUGUCCUAUUUUUCUACUACAUUAAAAAUUAACUUAAGAUCCUAUAUGUGGCACGAUGCGUUAACAACUAUUUUUUGUAUUUAUAAACACUUAUGGUCCUUACUUUAUUUUUAUUAUAUGUAAACAUCAACUUUUUUAUUCACAAUUAUAAUUUUCUCUUGAUUUUUAAAAAUACAUUAACAACAUUUAUACAUUUUUCUUUUGCGUUCAAAACAUUAUCUGACUCGUAGCAAAAUGAAUUAAAUAAACAUGUCAACACUUUUUUUUUGUAUUUAUGAUUAGGAUUUGUUUUUGUUAAAAAUGCAAUUGAAAAGCAUACAAAUUUAUUUUUUUGCUAAAAACAAUUUUGUGAUCCAUAACAAAGUACGAGUUAAAUAACUACUAAUAUGGCUAUAGUAAGUCUUUUAGUAUAUAUGGAUGUAGGAAGCAAUGUGUUAUAUUAUUAGUUAGAUAUAACUUACCUAUUCAUUAUUAAAAAAACAUAAAAUAAAUAAAUAUAUUAAUAGAAACCUAAAAGAGAUCGGCUGAAAUAUAAUAUUUUUGUCCUUUUUUUAUUUUGUUUCACAUUUCUCAAUUAAGAGAAUCAUGAUAUAAUGAAAUGUAUUUGAAACACCGUCCCAUUUUUCUACUACAUUAAAAAUUAACUUCCUACAUGUGGCGCGUUGCGUUAACAAUUGUUUUUGUAUUUAUUAACAUAUAUGAUCUCAAGUUUAUUUUAUUAUAUGUAAAUAUUAACUUUUUUUAUUCACAAUUAUAUUUUUUCCUCUCGAUAUAAAAAAAAUACAUUAACAACACUUAUACAUCCAUUCUUUUGUGUUGGAAAAUAUUAUUUGACCCAUAGCGAAGCGAGUUAAAUAAACACGUCAAUAUCUUUUUUUGUAUUUGUGAUUAGGGUUUAUUUUUUUUUUGUUAAAAAAAUACAUUUGAAAAGCAUUUAUAUUUAUUUAUUUUGCUAAAAAACAUUUCUUACCUUUAGUAAAGUGUGAGUCAAAUAACUACUAAUAUGGCUAUAGUGAGUGUCUUUUUAUACAGUAUACUUGGAUGUAGGUAGCAAUGUAUUAUAUUAUUAGUUAGAUAUAACUUACCUAUUCAUUAUUAAAAAAAACAUAAAAUAAAUAAAUAUAUUAAUAGAAACCUAAAAGAGAUCGGCUGAAACAACAUAGUCUCCAAGAGGAAAUAUUGUGAAUUCACACAAUGUUUACUUUCUUUUUUUUUUGUCCUUUUUUUUAUUCAGUUAUCUUUGAUGAUGAAUUAAUAAAGAUUUGAGAUGGUUUAAUUUCACAAAAUUUUCUUUUAUUGUUUGUAAGAAAUUGAAAAUGAGAAGAUCAAAAUUAAAAUAAAUAAAAAACCAAAUUUUUUUUUAAAAAAAAUAUGGUGUCAACUUUGCUUUUUAUUUUUUGCUUUUAAUCAUCUAUUUUUUUUAUAUAAAAAAAUAAUCUUUCAAUAUUGUGUUAAUUAUUUAUUUAUAAAAAAUUAAUCUUUCAAUAUUGUGUUAAUUAGAAUUUGAAAUUGGUAAUUUUAUAUGAGCAUCUAGAACUAAAUAAAAAGCCGCACCAUUGGUUUGGUGCUCAACUUUACAAAUAAAAAAAAAAAUCGAUUGUAUUGUUUUAGAAAAAAUAAAAAGAUCAAAACUAAAACACGAAAAAAGAAAAGAAAAAAAGGAGGCCUUAAAAAAACAAAUUGUGUCAGCACCUCCAUGCAUUGUAAUUUUGAUAAAUCUUCUUUUUGGUAAUGAAACUUUUUUAUUCAAAACUUUUUGAUUCAAAACUUUAUUUUACUUGUAUUUUAAUUCUUGAGGAUGAGAAAGAAAAGAGAAAUUCAUCAAAAAAUUACUAAGAAAAGAGAAAAUUAGCGAAAGCCAGCAAGGUAUCUGCUCGAAAAAACAAAUGGGCAAGCAAACAUACGCCCUUACUUCUGGAGGCUUGUGCGAUAAUGGGCAAGCAUCAUUGUUUUUUUGGGGGCUUGUACGAUAAUGACUAAACACACAACAUUACAUUACUUCUAGCUUCUUCAGCAAACACAGAUAGAUAAGUCGAAAUCUUCUGUAUUCCCAUUGCCAAUGAAACAGUUGGAAUUACUUCCCACCAAUCUAAAACAUAUUCGCAGCACCAACCUUGAAAUCAUGUAACAGCUAACCAACCUUGCCUGAUGCAAACAUGAAGAACAAAGACAAUCCAUGAUUUAAUUCAACCAUUAAAAUUUGAAGGUAAAGGAGAGGAUAAAUAAUCUUCAGCUAUAUCACCUGGUUUGGGCAAGAAAGAAUUAUUAGACUACCAAUCAUCACCAUUCUUUCCACCCCUUAUCUCGGGUCCACUCUCUAUAAAUGCUUGAAUCUUCAGCUACUUCAGAUACCUGUAAACCAAUUCAAGCAUGGCAUGCUCAUUUUUACUUGUAAAUCUUAUUAUUGAGCCAAACAAGAAACAAACACACUAAAAGAGAGGCAAGAAAUCAAGUCAAAUCAGCAGCACCUCUGAUUGAGCACUCAUUGAACCAUCUGGUGUACUAGCAAAUUUUGUGGUCAGCUUUGGACAUAGAUGGACCUUCAACUUCUCCAAACGAGGGAAUAAGAAAUAAUCACACCAUCCGAAACUAAAACAGACAAUACUUGAUAAUUGAUGUAUCGACAACUCCUUUAGAUUAGGAAGCACUAUCUCCUUCUCAACGUUGAUAGGUGAAGCUUGACCAUCCUGCCCAGGAGGCUCUGGAAUUAUUUCCUUUUCACCAUCCUCUUCUCUGAUAAUAUGCUUCAAUUGACCGCAUUUACCUAUGUAAAGUCUUUCUAGCUUUGGCAGACUUCGAGCGAGGGACGGUGUGAAUAUAAAUGUCAGUUUGUCCAGAGACCACAAAUCCAGAUAAGCAAGACUUUGGAGGCUGACAUGUCUGGUGGGCCCCUUCCACAUGCAUUUGAGCUCAGGUAAACCUGACAGCCGUAACCCUGUUAAAGAUGACAGAAGCGGCAGCUCCUUCUCCUCCCUACUUCCUUCAUCAGGCUCACCUAAUUCAAAUACCUCUUCCAAUGAUUUGCAGCCGUUAAUGUUCACACUGCUUAGAUUUUUCAAAGCUCGCAGCAAUUUUGCUGGAAACGGAGCGCGAACAUCCCCACAAUCGUCCACUCGUACACGUUCUAAUCUAUGUAAGGAGCCGUUUUGCUCCCCAUGGGCGGCCAUCUGAUCAGAGAACAAUAUUAUAUUUUCUCACUCUCAUAAAAACAAUUUAUAUGAUGUAUAAAUAGGAGAAAAAAACAGGAUUAAAUACUUUUUAGAGAUUACAUAUUAUUGUUUUAGUUUUGUUCUUAAUUAGAGAUAAGUUGAAUAAUAAUUAGAUUUUUGUGAAAAAAAGGUUAAUACAACUCCUAAUAAUUAGUUUCAUGUAAAAACAAAAACAAAAAUAAAAAUAGUAACUAAUAUUUUUAUUUUAGUUAUAAAGUUAAUAAAUUUUAAAAGAUAUUUUAAUUGACUUCAAAAUUUUCAACACAAAAUUUAUGCUCUUAUAUAUUAAUAAUUUAUUUGUGAAGUUAUUUGAUGUACUUUUGUAUAAAAAACAUUUUUUAUUACGUGCAAAGUUGUUUAAGUGGACAAACUUGUCUAAUUUUUAUCCAGAUAGAUUACCUCCAAAGUAGUCAAUUUGCUCAGCAGAAGACCCCUCAAGUCAGGCACGGAUUCCAAGCGUAAUUCUUUCAAAUUUGUGAACCCCUGCAUCAAAAGAAAUUUUGUGCACUUUUGAACUAUAUAAUUUUGGUAAAUAGAUGAACGAAUUGUCCAUAUAAAACUUCAGCAAAAAAACUUAUCAACAAAAGGAUAGAAGUAGACAUGGCAACAAGGCAUGGGAAUAUGAAAUCAGAAGUUGCAGAUGGAGGUUUAUCUUCCUCUUCAAAUACUUCUAUUAAUUGGGGGAAGAGCCUCAAUAUCACUUAAACUGGGAAAGCAUAAAGAUUGAAAAAUCAAGGUAGGAUUUCAUUACAAUAAUUAAUUUCUUACUUCUUAAGCCCUGCAUCAAGAGACAAGGAAUGAUAAAGUUAGACAACUCCUUUUAAAUUUAGUGAAUGGCUAAAGGAUUUAUCUCCACUUAUCAAUUACUUCAGUUUCAGAAAUUUGGAGGAGAAAUCAACCUGUAUUGAAGUUGACAAUUUAAAUUAAGAAGAAAAAAAAAUUAUAGGAGAAAUAUAAAGGACGUACUUGGAGCUGUGCAAACAAAUUUCCCAAUUCUUUGUGGCCAUUGAUUUUUAGAAAUCGCAAAGAAGGCAAUUGGGCAGCAAGAUUCGUUGGACCAAAAAAGCUGUAAUUUGAUAUGGAAGAAAGAACCAAGUCACUUAAUCGAGGGAACUUGAUGAUGCCAUCUGUGGUGAGUGCGUCUCCUUCUCCACUGUAAAAUAUUUGCUUUAAAUUGUCAGUACGAUCAAUCGUCAUCAAUUCCAGGUUCGGAAGGCUCGGAGACACAGAGACAGGGAAGACAUAUUCCAGUUUACCACAGUCUUUUAUGAAGAUAGUUUUUAAUCUUGGGAAGCAAGGAGACUCUGGAAUUAUUUCCCUUUCACCAUCCUCUUCUCUGAUAAUAUACUUCAAUUCACCGCAUUCACUUAUCUCAAGUGUUUCUAGCUUUGGCAGACUUCGAGCGAGAGACGGUGUGAGGAUAAAUGUCAGUUUGUCGAGAGAAUUCAAAUACAGAUAAGCAAGACUUUGGAGGCUGACAUGUCUGGUGGGCCCCUUCCAAAUGCAUUUGAGCUCAGGUAACCCUGACAGCAGUAACUCUGUUAAAGAUGACAGCAGCUCCUUCUCCUCACUGCUUCCUUCAUCAGACUCACCUAAUUCAAAUACCUCUUCCAAUGAUUUGCAGCCGUUAAUGUUCACACUGCUUAGAUUUUUCACAGCUCGCAGCAAUUUUGCUGGAAACGGAGUGCGAACAUCCCCACAAUCGUCCACUGCUACAGAUUUUAAUCUUUGUAAGAAGCCGUUUUGCUGCACAUGGACGGCCAUCUUAUCAGAGAACAAUAUUAUAUUUUUUCACUCUCAUGAAAACAAUUUAUAUGAUGUAUAAAUAGGAGAAAAAAAAAAGAAAAAACAGGAUUAAAUACUUCUUAGAGAUUACAUAUUAUUGUUUCAGUUUUUUUUUUCUUAAUUGGAGAUAAGUUGAAUAAUAAUUAGAUUUUUGCGAAAAAAGGGUUAAUACAACUCCUAAUAUAAUAUAAAUUACGUAAACCAUGAGGCAGUUAAAUCUAACAGAAAAUAUAUUUCAAAUGAGGCAGUUAAAUCUAACAGAUAAUAUGUUCUUCCAUAUGAUUAAUUUUUAAUAACGUAGACAACAAUGAGGCAGUUAAGUUUCUUAUAUUUAUAUAUGUUUAGAUAAAAAUAAAAAUAAAAAUGAGCAUUUAUCAAUUACUUUACUUUUAGAAAUUGGGAGGAAGAAAGAAUAAAUUAUCGCAAUUGACAAUUUAAAUUAAGUGGAGAAAUAUAAAUUACGUACUUGUAGCUGUGCCAACCAAUUACCCACUUCUUCGUGGCCUUCAAUGUUUAGUUUCUGCAAAGAAGGCAAUUGAAAAUCAAAAUUCCUUGGACCUAUAAAGCCGUAAUUUGAUCGGAGCCCAAGAGACAAUUGUCUUAGUUGAGGGAACUUGAUGAUGCCAUCUGUGGUGAGUGCAUCUCCUUCUCCACUGUAAAAUAUUUGCUUUAAAUUGUCAGCAUAAUAAAUCGACAUCUGUUCCAGGUUCGGAAGGCUUGGAGACAUGGAGACAUGGAGACAGGGAAGACAUAUUCCAGUUUACCACACCGUUGUAUGAAGAUAUUUUUUAAUUGUGGGAAGCAAGGAGACUCUGGAAUUAUUUCCCUUUCACCAUCCUCUUCUCUGAUAAUAUGCUUCAAUUCACCGCAUGCUGUUAUGUUAAGUGUUUGCAGUUGUGGUAGACUUUGAGCGAGGGACGGUGUGAAGAUAAAUGCCAGUUUGUCCAGAUACCCCAACUCCAGAAAAUUAAGACUUUGGAGGCUGACAUGUCUGGUGGGCCCCUUCCAUAUGCAUUUGAGCUCAGGUAACACUAACAGCCGUAACUUGGUUAAAGGUGACAGUAGCGGCAGCUCCUUCUCCUUACUGCUUCCUUCAUCAGCCUCACCCAAUUCAAAUACCUCUUCCAAUGAUUCACAGUUGUCAAUAAACACCUCCUUCAGAUUUUUUAAACCUUGCCGCAAUCUUGCUGGAAACAGAGUGAAAACAUCCCCACAAUCCCUCACUACUACAGAUUCUAAUUUAUGUAAAAACAAUUGCUCAAAUGUCUUCGCAUUUAAGGAUGUACCAGCCCAAUAAAAUCUUGUCGAGGUUGAUGAAUAAUACUCAUAGCCUAAAGCAUUCCCUAAUGUUAUAUCAUAUUUGCGCAAGCUAACUGGAAAAACAAAAUCUCUGGGAAUGCGUUCAACCUUCGGUAUCCUCAAUGAUAAUACGGCUAACUGAGACAACGAAUUUAGUUCUGUUAGGUUUGCAUUCAUUCCACCUGUGCUGUCACAUCCAACGACAUCCCAUCCCUGAAAGCUGUAUUGCCCAAUCAACAGCUCUUCUAAUUUCUUCAACCUUCCAAUCAAAUUCACAGGGAUCCUUCUUAGCCUUUGACAACCUGUCACAUCCAACAACCUUAACUCCUUGAGCUCUCCUAUUUCAUCAGGUAAUUCUUCAAUGGAUAAGCACGACAUAAGACCAAGAAUCUUAAGUCUCUGCAGCUUUCUCAACCAAAUGAGGUCCUUGCAUCCACACCUAAUCAACACCAACGAUUGAAGUUUCGUUGAGAGUUCAAGUGAUUGCAGCGACAAACGCCCUCCCUCCAGAGACAAAACUUCAAUUUCUUUCAUCCCUUCAAAAAACCUCUCUGGAACAUUCAUACCAUCUUCCAGUUCUAAUAAUAGAACUUUGAGCUGUGGACAUACCAAUCCUUCAGGAAGUUCUGCUAGUUUAUUGCCCAUUAACGAAAUUGUUGUACAACCUUCAAAGCUUUUGUUUCUCAUUGGCCACUUCUCCAACCCAAUGCCAGCCUUUACGAUGAAUCCAUAUUCUUCUGAUGAUGCUAUCUGAAUAGCAAAGUCACGAACCAAGUCAUGCAUUCUCACAUGUUCUUCAGUUUCAGUGCCCAACAGCAUGCAACAAUCUUUGAGGUUUUCGAUGGCCACAGAAACUCGUUUCCUUGCAUCUUCAAUGGGCUCCGCAUCUUGAUGUAACCCAUAGCCAACUGCAUAUCUCGUCAAGUCCUCGAUUGGAAUGUCAUAAUCUUCUGGAAAUAAACAGCAUAGCACGAAACAUGACUUGGUUUCCUCGUACUUCAAAUAAUCAUAGCUCAACUUAAGACAUGUGUAAGCAUUAUUUUGUUCAUCAAUUUGUUCCAUGCGCACAAAGUGAGAUUCUUUGAGCUGUUUAGACGCUACUUCCCACUGAACUCGUGAUUUACCUCUUAGAGCCCUUCCCACUGUCACAAGUGCUAUAGGCAAGCCUUGGCAUUCUCUCGCAACCUCCCUUGCCACUGUGUUCAAGGUAGAGUCCCCAUCACGUAAACCUGCAUUGAUUCUGAAUAAAUCCGAUGCUUCAUCUUCAGGUAAGACUCUUAAAAGCACUUUUUGCUGGCACUCCAUAGAAAAACAUAUGCCUUGAACACGUGUUGUUAGAAGAAUUUUACAACCCCUGUGAUCAUCACCAAAUGGGAUCCCUAUCUCUUCCAAGUCAAUAUGUUUCCAAACAUCAUCUAGGAUUAUAAGCAUCUUCUUUCCCUGCAGUCUCUGCCAUAAUUCACUUGCUCUACCUUCUUUACUCGUUUUUUCAAAUUUCAGAUGUAAACUAUCUGCCAUUCGAUCCUGGAUGCCUAUGAAAUUUGGAUUCUGGGACACCGUAGCCAUCAAAACGUCAGGAAAAAGCUGCGACUCUUUGGCUCUCCUGCCUACUUCUUUCACCAGGGUUGUUUUACCCACCCCUCCCAUGCCGUACAGUCCGAUCAUAUUGACGGUGUCAUCUUUGAGAGCUUUCAUGAUCUGUUCCAAAGCUUCUUUUGACGAUUCUGAGGGCGUGAAUUCCUUUGAUGUUAGAAAUUCUAUGGGCUGAGGAGGAGCUUUUUGGGCCACUAUUUUAAACUUUGUGCUAUUUUCUAGAAUUUUUCUGAAAGUCUCCGACUUCUUGGCCAGUGCCUUGCUUAACUUGAAUUGUCGCAUGCAGUUUGGGCACCAAGUAAAGCAUUUGCCGUUUUUUCCUAUUUCAUUUUCCAAGGGCUUCGCACCUUCAAUUUGGUUGUUUGCAUCUUCCAGCCACUUUUUGACAUCUUUGUAAGUUUUUUCAGCAUUCCUUUCAGCAGCUUCGACAUCGUCUUGCAGACGUUCUUUUGCCGAAACCAGGUUCUCCUUUUGUUCUUUGAAUUCUUGAGCAAAAUUGUUGAAACAGAACAUGUAACGGAACUGCCUUCCUACUGGUUCCACCAUGAGUUCUGCUAGCAUAGCUAUAAUGGAUCCACCAGCACUUUCGAGAGCCAUUUUCCACAGGUCUGAAAAUCAAAGAAAUAAGGAUACAGAACGUGAGAGUGAUCACUACAAGUAAAACAGUCGCAGAGAGAAUGGGAAUAGGAAUUUCAUUACCUUAAUUUGGGAAAAUAUGUGCGAAAAGCACUGGUACUGAGUGCUCAAUGAAAUAGCGGGAGGAAGAAAAGGAGAAGUCCUUUAGCUCUGUAUGGAAUCCAGCUUCAAAAGCAACAAUAAAAUAGUUUAGAUGGAUUCUAACUGACUCUUGUGAGUUAAAGCAGUAGUUCCCAUUAAAAAUGCAUUUUGAUGACAUAAUUAAGAUCAUAUAGAGACAGUGACAAACCAAAAAGAAAGAAACGAGUGAAAGGUCCAGGAUAAUCUAAGCUAUGAUCGGUCAAGGUUUUUUUUUGUUUUAUUCUUUUUUAAAAUAAAAAAAAAAAAACAGGAAAAGACUUGCAAAGAAAUAGAAUUACUGGAAUGAACACAAUAAAGGAUGAAACUCAAGCAAUUAAAAAUAAAUUAUCUAUGAUGAUCAUCUCUGUGUCACACUCAAUGAGGUAAUAUGAUUGGCCUAUUACAAUAUUAAAUAAAUAAAUAAAAAAGCUAAAAGAACUAGGUUUUUGGUGGCAUCUAGAUUGCGGUUACUUUCUUCAUCCUUCUUUUGUGGUUUUAUUUUAUUUCAGUCCUUCAAAUCUUUUUCUUUUUCUAUUUCAUCGAGUUGCUUUUGAGUUGAUGUGCUUGCCCUAGAAUAUGCAUUAUGCUAGGGAUUACAGUUACAUUACAUAAGAAAUUAUAAUUACAGAUUAUAAUUAACAAUUUCAGUUUUUUUUUAAAAAUAAAUUUAUGAGAAAGGACCCAACGUGAGUAAAUUAAAGGAGAAUUUUAAAUCUCAAGGAUUUACAUGAAAGUGUUUUUUUAGAUGUAAAACAUUUUCCAGAAAUUAUGAAAAAUUUAGAAAUAUGAUAUUAUUUAUUGAUUAUAACAAAUUUAGUCCUAAAAAAUUUAAUUGCUAUAUAUUUUGUUUAGAAUAUUUUUUUUUCAAUUUCACCCCUUAGAAUUUGAUUUUUAUACUAAAUUUGGUUCUCAUUUUAUGAUUGUUAUUUGCUUUUUUCUUUUUAUUUUUUUAAUUGAAAUUUUUUAUUUAUCAAAUUUGAUCCUCAUUAUUUUGAUUGUUACUUAUUCUAUUUGAAAUAAUUUAUGAAAUUAUAAUUAUUUUAAUUUCAUCAUCUUUUAAUUUUUUUUAUCUUUAGAUUUGAUUUUUAAAAGGCUUUUCAAAAAAAAAAAAACAGAGAGGAAAGGUACGGUUGAAAUAAGAUAGGGACGUGGAAAUAGAGGGAGAGGUUGUUGGAGGCAGAAAAGGAAAGACUACGAUAGUAUUUUUCUCUAUAUUUUGAGUUUUAGUUGUUAACAGCCAUGCUCGUUUGAUUUUAUUUUAUUUUAUUUUUAUUUAUUUUCUACAUGCUCUUGCAAAUAAGGCAGGAAAGGAGGACCUGAAAUCACGGCAGCAAAUAAGGAGGGUAAUAGCGUGUUUGUUUUUUAUUUUUUAAAUUAUUUUUUUAUAAAAUAAUGUUUUGUAUUCUAAAUUAAUUUUUUUUUAUUUUUAUAUUGAUAUUAAAAAUAAUUUUUUAAAAAUAAACAAAUAUUAUUUUAAUAUAUUUUUAAAAUAAAAAAAUAUUUUAAAAAACAACUAGUUAUUCAAACACUUAAAAUGAAAAUCUUAAAAUCACAGCAUGAUAAAAGGGGAAAGAAAGGAAUGGGAUAAAGAAGGAAGAAAGCCAGUCUUGUAGAAAAUAGAAGAUGAAAAUUAGUAUGAAAAGGAGGCUAUUUGUUUUUGUAGUGUUAGAGUGGUUUUUAUAAUUAUAUUUAAUUUAUAAAAAUAUUUAAUUAAUAUAUUUUUUAAUAUUUCUUGUUAUUUUAUAUAUAUAUAUAUAUAAUAUUUUAAUAUGUUUUUAAAUAAAAAAUUAUUCAAAAAAAUAUGUGUCACAAUACUAAAUUAUAGUAUAUAUUAAAAGAUAAAAGAGUUUUCUGUUCAUUAUUAUUUACCGAGACUUAUUUUAUUGUGGAUGUGGAUGUUAAUAGUGAAUUUUUUUAAAAAAAUUUCAAUUUUGUAUUUGGAUUUUUUUUUUUUUUUACAUAAUUGAAUCUCUUUAUGCCAAAAUUAAAACUCAAUUGUAUUUUUUUUUAAGGAUAAGAGUUGAAUUGAAAGAUAGAUAACUGAAAUGAAAAACUCGAUAAAAAUAUAUAGUGACACUGUAAUUGUUUGCAAAGUUCAUUUUAGUUCCUUAUCUUUUUGAGCUACUAAGUAACAUGUCCCUAUAAUUUCUCAACAUUACAUUUUAUACAGAAUCUCGGAUUAUGCUCUUGGAACUAAACUGAAAUUUUCACAAAUUGAAGGACCAAACUGAAAUUUUAUGAUCUUCAACCUCAAACCCAGAAUUUUCAAAGAUCACCUAUUGAUAUCAAGAUUUCUAACUCAAAUUCAUUAUUAAAACAAACCAUAACUCAAAAUCAUUAUUUUUACUUAAAAUCUUUCAAAAUCAACUAUAUAACUCAUUAUCAAUAACAAUCAACACAUAAUAUUCAAAUUAAUUCAUCAAUCAAACCCAAAACACAAUCUUCAAAACUCUAAUAUUCAACAAAAUAGAAAAUUAAAGCUAAGGAAAACACAUUUAUACACUUCAAAGCGUAACUCUUACAUUUUAACUUAUUUUCUCCAACUCUCUUCUCCUUUCUUUAUCUUUUCCUCUUUUUCUCUUUUUCUUUUUUCACUCUCACGGUUUUCUCUCUAAGAAUUGAGAGCUUUUUAUUUUUUUUUAUUUAUAUUUAUCAAUUAUUUGUUCAAUUACUACCGUUCAUUUAUUUAUACCUCCUUGCCUCCAAGAAUUUUGUAGCCUUUUUCUAUUCUCUUUUAUUUUCAAAAGAUCACAAUAAAAUUGUAUUCUUUUUAUUAAGCUGUUAAUUUAUGCAGCUUUAGCUCUUGUUCUCUUUUCAUGUUUGGCAACUCUGAUCUGAUCCAUUUCUUUGCAUGAUAUAUAAGAGCAGGUUCUUACCUCUUGAAGUCUGCUGGAUAAACCUAUCAGCAGAAGAUCAUGAACCGAUCCCAAAUCACAGCUUCAAUCCCCACCACAACCAAUCUCCUCUUUCCCGUAGUCUUCCGUCCUCAAUUGGGAAAUGAUCCAAAAUCAACAACCGGUGCGGAGAUAGUUUGAGUGAAAAGAAACGGCUGAAAGAUGAAAUGUGAAGGUUAUGGUGAGAAAUUGGAUGACAAACUUACUUUGUCCUACUAAUGCUUUUGCUUUCAUUGUUUCAAAAAGUAAAAGAGACAUAAGCAUAAUCAUAAGAAUCCUGUUUUUUCUAUUUUUUUCUCCUAUUUAUACAUCAAAAAAUGGCAGUUUUUCUUUUCCUUUCUUUUUAAAAUCUUAUGCCUUUGGGUGAGGAAAGUAGUGGAGCAUUAGACUUUUUAAAAGACAACAAAAAGAAGCAAUGUCUCAUCUUUUGAUAUGGUGGUACAAGAUACACCAUGGUAUGGUGGUCCUGCAAUAUUAGUUUGUUGAUGAAGAUAUCGAAAGAUUCCAGUCUCCGUUCUAGCUAAUGUUGGAUGCAAGGCUGAAGUUAAGAUUAUUUUAGAAUAUUUUUUUAAUCGGUGGUUUGUGUGGAGUAAUUUACGAUAAUUUAAUCUUUAAAAAAAAUUAGAUUUUUAAUUAAUAAAUUUUUAAGUAACUAUAAAUUUAUUUAAUGAGAUCUUCAGUAAUAAUUCUAGUUGGUUAGGCAAUAUAAACAGUUUUCACAAAGAUUCUACUACUGAUGUGUCCAUAUUACACAGGAACAGAAUGCUAGAGAAUAACUUUCUUUUUACAAAAAAAAAAAAAAAAGGUCGAGAAUUUUCCUUAAAGCAGACACCCAUGAAGAAGAGAUAGUUGCCUUAGCCAAGCUUCUCACUUUACAAAAUUGUAUCGUAGUAGUUUGCACCCACUAGGAAGUCCAGAAUAGGAAAAGAAAAACGGACGCUUAGCGGACCCACAAAAGUUUAAAACACUUGCAUUUCUUUUUUAUUUUCAAAUUAACAUGGUAAAUUUUGUAUGUUUAAAAAUAUCGUAAUGAAAAACACAGCAUUCGAAAAAAAACACAAUUGAAAUAAAUCUAGAUUAUCCUUCUAUUGUGUAUCAAAUUUAUGAUUUUUAAUGGUCAGGGAUUUUAAAUCCAGUUUGGUGUACGACCCGAUCCAAUAAAUUCGAGUCACGAGUUUUGAUCGGGUCACCCGAGUCAACUUUUUUUUUUAUAUAUAUAAAUCAAAAUAAUAUCGUUUUUUAUUAAAAAAAAUAGUCAACAUGUUACAAUUAGAUUUUUUACCGAUUCUUUCCAGGUCAACCGGAUUACCAAGUCACUUGACUUUUUAUUUUUUUUUAUUUUUUUUAAACCCGACUUGAUUCCAAUCCUGAAUCUAACCUGUAAGGUCAGACCAGGUUUUAAAAAUAUGCUAUUUGACUGAAAAGGAUGUUACACCCCCAUGUUUUUUUGGUGAAGAAUUGCAUGACGUAGUGUCAGAGUAUUGUGAUAUUGUGUUAUAAACAGAAGUUUUCUGGUUUUGGUUUAACCCACAAUUAGAUAAAACAAAGUAUUUUCUGGGAGCUUCCUUAUUGGAAGAUCAAUCUGCUCCACCAUAACCUUGAUGUCAUGCACAUAGAAAAAAAAAACAUGUUUGAAAACAUUUUUAACGGUCAUGAACGUGAAGGGAAAGACAAAGAACAAUAUCAUGGCUAGAAUGGAUAUAAUAUUUUUUUGUAACCGUAAAAAUAUGGAGUUGGUUUUUGAUGGGUCACGGGUCACAAAGUCCAGAGCAAGCUUCGUCUUAGAGAAGAAUACACAACUACUAGUCUACCUAUAGCUUAAAAGCCUGUGUUUUCCCGAUGGACAUGCCUCGAACAUAUUAAGGUUGGUUAAUCUAGAGAAAUUCAGAUUGUAUGGAAUGAAGAGCCAUGAUUGCCACGUGUUUUUGCAAACACUCAUUCCAUUAGCUUAUCUUGAUUUAUUGCCAAAGGACAUAUGUGAUACACUCAUGGAGAUCAGUCAUUUCUUUAGAGAUAUGUGCUCCAGCAAGUUGUAGACACAUCACAUUGAGAAGCUUGAAACAAAUAUCAUUGAGACAAUAUGCAAACUUGAGAUAAUAUUUCCUCUAUUGUUUUUUUGACUUGAUUGAGCAUCUACCAAUACAUUUACCGUAUAAGGCAAAAGUUGGAGGCCCAGUCCAAAAUAGAUGGAUGUAUCCAUUCGAGAGGUUAGAUAUUAGAGAUGCAAUGCAAGUAUUAAUGUAUUUUCAUUGUUUUUCUUAAUUGAAAAUGUUUGUUUAAUUUGAUGUAGGUACUUGUUCAAUUAAAAAAAAAAAGAAGUUAAGAAUAAGGUGCAUGUUGAGGCUUCGAUAUGUGUGGCCUAUAUUGUUGAGGAGAUCUCAACAUUUAUAUUAUACUAUUUCGAGCCUCAUCCGGGAACGAAAAUCAACCGCGUUCCACAGCAUGAUGAUGGUGGUCAAGUGCCUUCAAGUUCGAACUUGUCAAUAUUCUCCAAUCCUGGAUGACCCACAUCUAAAAAUGUUGUAAGGGGAACAUAUUUGUCUAAAAUAGAAUUCAAACAAGCACAUAAUUAUGUGUUAUUUAACUGCAAUGAACUGAGACUUUUUAUUUAUUUAGUAUAUAUACUACUUAAACUUUGUUGUAAAUGGACUAUUUAUCUAUUGUAAUAUCACAAAUUUGUACAUUUUUGAAAACCUCGUAGGCAAUGUUGACAAUAUUUACUAACUCACAACUGACGGAAUCCCUUCAAUUACAAGAUGAACAAUUUUCCAGGUGGUUCAGAACAUAUGUAAGUACUAUGACAAACUCAUCAUGUAUCAUUGUACUUAAUUUCAUUACAGAAUUCUCAUUUACUGUUCAUUGUUGUAGUUUGUUGCUACCCAAUUUUGACCCAUGUUUUUGAUAAAUUUUCAAAAAAAAGCAAAAAAACAAUGAAAACCCCAAAAAAUGCAUUUUUGAUAUGUUUGCAUCGUUUUUAGCAUUUUCAAUGUCAUCUCAGAAGAAUUUAAAUUUUCAAAGGUAUUUUGAACACGUUCAACUUUUAAUGUGUUAAUUUUACAAUCACUGAUUUUUCUUGUUGGGUCAACAUUGAUAUUGCUUGCUUUCAAAAAUACAAAAAAAAAUAAUUCAAAAUUGACAAAAAAUAAAGAAGUUGAGGGACCAAUGUGUUUUGGGGACCAAGCCACUUUGCCUAUAAAUAGAGGUCACAACACACGCAAAAGGAGGAGAAAAAUUUUACAGGGGAACAAUUUUAAGACAGAGAAAUUUAGGGCAACAAAAAAUAAACCUAAACCUAAAUUAUUUCUCCCAAGCCAGCCGACUGCCUCCCUCCCUUUGCAAAAAAGGUCGGCCGCCGCUUCCCCCAGUUUUGGUUCCCUUUGGCUCCUUCUUAAACCUUCAGCCCCUCCAUCACUAGGGUUCCCAUUUCCACGAUCUCCCCUAAGCUGGCCCCUGACCCAUUUCCGGGCAUUGCCAGCAGUGGCGCUGCAUGGAGCAAAUGCGCCGUCAUUAUUCUGGCAGAUUCCAGAAGGCUUUCCACUGAUCUUGUAGUUUCUGGGGGCUUAUUUUGUAAUUUUUGAAUUGUAUUUGAUACAUUUAAAAUUUUUGUUAUUUUGAAACAUGUCAAAAUGAUGUGUGAGUUGAGCAUAAUAAAAAAAAGUGAUGUUAGUGUGUGUGUUUGUGUUUUUUUUAUGUAUGUUUUCUUUUAAUGUUAAAAUUAAAAAAAAAGGUGAAAAUGUGAUGUUAGUGUGUGUGUGUGUGUUUGUAUUUUCUUUUAUGUAUGUUUUCUUUUAAUGUUAAAAUAAAAAAGACAAAAAUAUUAAAAAGAAGAAAAAAGAAUUAAGUGUUUAAUUUGUAUAUGGUCAAGUAUUUUAAGGACAAAUAAAAUCAUGUUGUACUUAUUUUGAUUAUUUUAAGGACAAGUAUUUUUUAAUUUUUUUAUAUGCUAGAUUUGAUUUUUAUUAUUUUUAUUUUUAUUUAUUUUAUUUAAAAUAAUUUAUAAAAUUAAAUUUCUUUUUUAAUUUCAUUAUCUUUAUUUUUUAUUUUUAUAAUAAACUUGAACAGAAAAACUCAAAUAUUAAUAAGUUAUUUUUCAAUUUAUUUUUUAUGACAUGAACAAACAUUUGAAAUUAUUUUUUAACAUAUUUUUUAAUUUAUUUUUCUUAACACUAUUAAAUAUAAAUAAAUAACUUACUUUGUAAGAAUUUAUUUUCUAUAAAAACUACCUUUUAAAAGAAACUACUUUAAAUAAACGGGGCUCAAAUCUCACUCUCAUGGCUUUAUUUUUCAAGUUUUAAGAGAUAGAUAGACCUUCAUAACCGCAUGUGGUUAUUUAUCAUGAUAUUACCUUCUUCUGGAGUUAGGACAUGAUGAAAAUAGGCAAACAGAACCUAAUAAUUUAGUCAUUCUCAAUGUUUUGGAAGAUUUUUGCGAAAGAAAAAUUAUUACAAAUUUCCCUAGUCAUGAUCAUAUCCAUGACAUCUGACAAAAUUAUUAUAAACAGAAUUUUUUUUUGCAAACAUUUAGAAAAAAGAGUUUAUUAUUUGGUGAAAAACAACUAGUCAUCACCCAAAGAAACCGAGUGAAUGAGAAAAAAAGACAAAUAGCUAGAAAACAAUCAACAGAUCCAAGAACUUUCUGUAUGGUUUCCAAGAAAAUAAAAAGAAACGAGCAGCACAUGUUUUGAGUCUAGUGUAUUAACCUAGAAGGAUUAAAAUCAAUAAUUUCUUCUAAAUGAUCAAAACAUGUUGUUUUGAAAAGACCAAAAAUAUCAAUUAGAAAUCUUAUCAAGUUUUGACUAGAUUACAAAUCAAUUCAUCAUCAAAUCAAUCGGGUCAACCUAUAUUAAUGUUGGGUUAACUUUUUUUUUAUACCCAACCCGAGCAAGCUGACGGAUUGUUCAAGUCAAGUUUAAUAACAAUGUUUUCAUCUAUUUAACUAACCCUUUUAAUCUAUAUAUUUGCGUUGAUGUAUUUUUUUUCAUUCCACAGUAAAAGAAAAUCUCUUGAUUUCUCAUGAACAAUCUUAAAACUGUUCUUCAAGAUUCUGAAGGAAAAGACAUUAAAGAAGCUUCUUAUGACAUGCAGUUUCAACGAAAACUCCUUCACGCUAUUUUCCAAGAUACUUCUACCCACUAGAAACCUGGAAAAACUUAAAUAAUAUCAGCAAAAGUUUUGUUGUCAAUGAACAUGGCAGUAACAGGUUGGGAAUGUGUCAGCAUGCGAAGUGCCAAAGGGUAAAAGUAUUAUUAAAGAGGCGUGACACAAACGAAGCUACCCCUUACCUACUCCUGGGAAGGAAUAUAUGUCAGACUAUACAGCUUUUUCAAUUCAUUAAUGUCGUUCUCUGUUUGUCUUCUAAAACCUACUCCCAUCAUAUACAUGUAUUAUAUUCUUAAAAUUGCUCUAUGGGAUUGCAGGUCAUGCUCGUUUGAUUGCUUUUUUUUAUAUUCUUUUCAUGCCUUGCAAAUAAGGCAGGGAAGGAGGACCUGAAAUCACGGCAGCGAAUAAGGAGAGAAAUAGCCCGUUUGUCUUUGCUUCUUUCUUUUAGUAUUUUUGAAAAAUAUUAAUUUUUUUACUUUAAAUUAUUUUUUUAUAUUUUCAUAUUAUAUUGAUAUAUUUCUAAAUAAAAAAAUAUUUUAAAAAACAACCGCUAACACACUCUUUUUAAAGCUAUUAAGUAACCAGUCCCUAUAAUUUUUCAACAUUGCAUUUUGGUACCAUCCAUUUUUUUCUUGUGUUCAUACUUAAAACCUUCUUAAAGGAUUCUUAUUAAUAGCUUUAAAACCUCUCUCUCAAGAUUAAAAGGUUAGAAAUAACUUUAUGCUCUCUAAAUCUAACAAAACCACCAAGUACCCUUAAAAUCAAAACCAUCAGUUUAGUACAAGAACUUUUAGCUGUUAGCUUUUAUCCAGAACCUUUUACUUUGAUCAAAUGGUUAAACUUUCAUUAAUUUUUGAGGGAAUCCACAAAAAAACCUAGAAAAACCUAUAAAUACUCUUGAAAAUUAGAGCUGGAGAGGAGGAGAAAAUGAGAGAAAAAGAGAGGAAAAACGUGAGUAAAUAAUUUGUUAAUAGACUCUAUUACGAAGAUUCAAGAGCCUAAUAUAAAAGGUCUAACCAGCUUAAAAAAAAAAAAAAAAAAAGGAAAAGAAGGAAGGAAAAGAGAAGAAGAAAAUAACAACGUAAUUUUGAACUAAAAAGGCCUAAUUUCAGUGAAAGUUAAGAGCAUUAGAGACUAGACCGUGCUUAUACCGAAAGCGACUCUCAUCGUUGAAGGAAUGCAAACGGUUGUUAACGAGACACUUAUGUCGUUCCAACAUUCAAAGGUUGUUGAAUCUAGUACUGGUGCUCAUUCUGGAUCUAGUACCAAAAGGAGAAUAUAGAAAGAGAUAGUAGUGAAUUAAUUAUCUUUCAUUCAGUAGUAGGAUAAAAUUUAAUUAUCCUAAUACAAGACUUAAUACAAUUUCAUAGUUGUGGAACACUAACUAGAUAUAAAGAAAAAGUACAAAUUACAACAAAAAAUACAGGUUUUGAAGGUUGAUGACUCUCUCGACCAACUACGGUUUCAAAUACGAUGUGCACUAAGACUAACACUACUCUGUUAGCAUGAGCAUUCUAGCUGGCAUACCAUAAGUUCAUAUCAUAAUCAAACAAACAAAUUCAUAUCUCAAGGCCCAACUCAUGACAUUAAUAAAAUAAGAAGCUAUCAAUUCAGAAGUCAAUUUAGAAGUAUAUAUUGGCUUAUAUCAAUAAUUCAGAUUCAAUAAUUGAUUAUGUUUUAUCAUAACAAAGAUAAUAAUCAACAUAUAUAUUAUCAAGAAGCACAAUCCAAUUCAUAUUAACAACUCAAAUAUUUAUAUUAUUUCUCAUGCAUAUGAAAUUGACUUAAAAGUGAACAGAACUCAAAAGCAAAUACCGAAGAAAAUCUUACUGAUAUUCCGCAUGUAGAAUAUCAAGAUUAUCUAAAUACAAAGGAGACAUAUUAUAAAAUGACUCGAAAAGAACAUACAACCUAUUUAAUACACUUAAUUAAGGGUCUAUUUCAUAACCCUAUAUAUUUUUUUUUAACUAAACUAGUUAUUUUUCCCAAAAACCAAAAAAGUAAACGGUUUUCCGGAAAUCUAAUUCAUAAUAAAAAAAAUAAUGAGACUUGAUAAUAAUUCACUAAAUAACCAUCAAUUAUUUAUCAAAACAAUAUGAAAAAGCUAAUAUUAAAGCUAAGGACCAAUCUGGAAUUUUAUCAUAUUUUUAGGGGUCAAAUUAUAAUUUUAUCAAAUUGGAAGACCAAACUAAAAAUAUCAUAAAUUCAUGACUAUACUGGAAUUCUGCCCAUAAUUCAUCCUCAAUUCUGCCCAGAAUCUCAAAUUAUGCUCCAGGGACCACUAUAGAAUUUUAUCAAAUUUUUAGGGUCAAGUUGUAAUUUCAUCAAAUUGGAGGACCAAAGUGAAAAUGUCAUAAAUUCAUAACUAUACUGGAAUUCUACCCAUAAUUUAUCUUUGAUUCUGUCCAGAAUCUCGGAUUAUACUCCAGGGACCAAUCUCUAUUUUUUCCAAAGUUCAGAGACUAAAUUGUAAUUUUCACAAAUUGAGGGACCAAGCUGAAAUUUCAUAAUCUUCAACCUCAAACCAGAAUUUACAUAGAUAACCUACUGAUAUAUCAAGAUUUCUAACUCAAAUUCACCAUUUAAAUAAACCAUAACUCAAAAUCAUCAUUUUUACCUAAAAUCUUUCAAAAUCAACUAAAUAACUCAUUACCCAUAACACUCAACCCAUAAUUUUUUUGUAAUGUAAUUGUAAUUCCUAGCAUAAUGCAUAUUCGAGGGCAAGCACAACUACUCAAGAGCAAAGAAACUUGAUGAAAUAGCAAAAGAAAAAGACUUGAAGGACUGAAAUAAAAUAAAACCAAAAAAGAGGGAUGAAAAAAGUAACCGCAUUCUGGUUGCCAUAAAAAACAUAGUUCUUUUAGUAUUUUUUUUUAAAAUAUUGUAAUAGGUCAAUCAUAUUACCCGAGUGUGUGACACAGAGAUGAUCAACAUAGAAAAUUACUUUUAAUUGCUUCAACUUUCCUCGUCUAAAUAAAAGAUUAAGAGUUUUCAUGAUUGGGAGGAUGUUAUAUAUUUUGGGUUUUGAUGGUGAUUGUGAAGGAUUUGUGAGAUGAAUUAUAGUUUGGAAGUAAAAAUUAGUGACUUAUGAAGCAUAUAGAGAAGAUGAGAAGUAUUAGGGUUUUUUUGAGUGAGAUCGAGAUGUUAUUUGAAUCGGGAUGAAGAAAGAUAUUUGAGAGGAAAUGUGAUUUUAAGAAGUAUAAUUACAAGAAUUGUAAUUUAAUGUAUUCAAUUGUAGUUUUCAACACACCUCUACUAAUCUUUGCCAUUUGUAUGAAGAUAUCGAAAGAUUCGAGUCUCCGUUCUAGCUCAGGUUGGAAGCUAGGCCGAAGGCUAAGCUUCUUUUAAUUAUGAAUUGUUUAUGCAAAGGAAACCCAGAAGCUUGAACAAACAGAAAUGCCUUGUUGAUUUCUCUGCUACUACUCAUUAUUUCCAAUAUUAUUCCAUUAUCUUACCCGAAAGCAAUUAUACAAGAAAUUUCAUUAUCCCGCCCCAAAAGGCAAUUUAUUACAAGGACUUCCUUUAACCUCCUUUAAGGCAAUUUAUUUGAUGAAAAUAACCUCCUUUAAGGCAAUUUAUUUGAUGAAAAUUCCUUUAAUCCACCUCAAAGACAAUUUAUCUUAGGGAAUUCCAACGACCCAGGCAAUUUAUUUCUUGGAAAUUCCUUUAACCCGCCCUAAUUAAGGCAUUUUAUCUAAGGGAAUUCCAAAAUCAAUUUAUUUAUUGGACUCAGGAUUCUUUGAUACUAUUUAUUUAUAUAUAAUUUAACAACACUUUUAUCUUACAUUUAAAAAGAAAUUCAAAAGUAAGGAUAACCCUUACCUAGAGCUCCUGUGGUUCUUGCUCCCGAGAGAAUUGGCUCCAUUCCUGACAAAUCUAUUACCAAAAACCCAAGUUUCAACCAAUCAAUAACAUCAACACCCAUUUUAAUUCAAUGCAAUAAGUUUUUCUUAACCAAUUUACUUGAUGCAAGUUCUUAUAAUCAAAGUGACAGUAUUCAGGGUGAAGACAAGCAGAAGGGCGUGUAUUAAUUUUAUUUUUUAAUGUUGAGUUUUUUUAUUGAAUUUUAUUUGUCAAUAUUAAAUUAAUUAUAAAUUAAAUUUUAUAUAUUUUUUUAUCAUAUAUAAAAAAACAAAGUAAUCUCAUCUUUUGAUACGAGUGGUCCAAGAUUCACCAUGACAUGGUUGUAGUUUUUUUUUUUGCCUUUUUCUUUUAAAAAUGUUAUGUCAUUUAAUUUAUAAUUAUAAAUUAAAUUCUUUUUAUUGGUCAUUUUAAAUUUUUUUACUUUUUUUAUAUAUAAUUUUUUAAUUUUAUAUUUUAUUAAUGUUGAGUUUUUUUAUUAAAUUUUAUUUGGCUAUAAACCAGAACUUUUUAUUUUUUAUUUUUUGGACAAGCAGAGACAAAUUAAAUAAACAAAGUAAUCUCAUCUUUUGAUAUAGUUGUAGUUUUUUAUUAUUUGUUUUUUGCCUUUUUCUUUUAAAAAUGUUAUCUUUGGUAAGGAAUCCUUGGUUCCCAACGGCAACUGUAGCAGAGUUGACGGUUGCGUAAAAACAAAUCUCUAAACUCCACCGAAAGUAGUGGAGCAUUAGAGUUUUAAAAGACAAAACGGGAACAAGUGGGAGACGGAGAAAAAGACAAUAGUAGGUGGUCUAAGAUACACCGUAUAUAUGAUAAUAAUAAAACAAGUGUUUAGUUCCCGUUUGUUUGCUGGAAAAUAGUUUUUUUUUAAAAGUAAAUUCCGGGGAAAGUGAAUUCCGGGAAAGUAUUUUCCGAUGUUUGGUAGUGUAAUGGAAAAUAAGUUGGAAAACAUUUUCCAGUGUUUGGUUAUGUCAUGGAAAAUGAGCUGGAAAAUAACUUAUUAAUGUUUUAUUUUUCUCAAGUUUAUUAAAAUAAUGAGGAACAAAUUUUACAAAUUAAAAAGGUGAAUGAGAAUGAAAUUGAAAAAAAAAAAAUUUCAUAAAUUAUCUCAAAUAAAAUAAAUAAUAAUCAAAAUAAUAGAGAUCAAAUCUAAAACAUUAAAAAAAAUAAAGGUGAAGAAAUUAAAAUAAUAAUAAUUAACAUUUCAUAAAUUAUUUCAAAUAAAAUAAGUAACAAUUAAAAGAACGAGGACCAAAUUUGAUAGAUAAAAAAUUUCAAUAAAAAAAUGAUAAGGAAAAAACAAAUAUCAAUUAUAAAAAUAAGGACCAAAAUUAAUAUAAAAAUUAAAUUUUAAGAGAUGGAAUUGAAAAAUAAAUAUUCAAAACAAAUUAUAUAUAACAAUCAAAAGUUUGAGGAUCAAAUUUGAUAUAAUCAGCAAAUAAUGACAUUUCUAAUUUUUUCAUAACUUCCGGAAAGUGUUUUCCGCCCAAAUUUUCCAGGAAAACACUUUCCUGAAAACCAAGCUAAAUUUUCCUUUGACUGGAAAGUGUUUUCCGUUGACCAAUUUUCCUAAUGGCAAACAAACACAUGAAAGUUUGGAAAGUGGUUUCCCGGAAACCACUUUCCGGAAAACAAACACAGCUAAAAGGGAAAACACUUUCCUGGAAACCAAACCAAAUUUUUCUUUGACUGGAAAGUGUUUUCCGUUGACUGGAAAGUGUUUUUCGUUGACCGGAAAGUGUUUUCCUUUGACCAACUUUUCUAAUGGCAAACAAACACAGGAAAGUUUGGAAAGUGGUUUUCCGGAAAGUGAAUUUCGGGAAACAAAUAUGGCCUAAAACAACUCUGAAAACAAAAUUUUUUAUAAUUCAUAAUUUAUAAACACAUGCGAUAAAAUAAAUCAUACUGCAUGUUUUCAUUUGGCAUUUAAUUCCAUGAACAUGAUUUUUUUAGAUUAAUAUGGAUAUCCGGGUCAGCUUGUGUAUCUCGACUAAUCUCAUGAAUCCUAAAAUUAACGAUUAUAUGAGCAUUUAGCGGGCCUGGAGUUUGUGAGAUUCAAACUAAUAAUUUUUAGAGAACAAAUUCAGAAUCUGACCAGUUGAGCUACACUUAUCGGAAUUUCAUUAACAUGAUCUUACUUUUCAAUCAAAUUGCUGCGACCAUAUUAGACUUGUAAUCAGACCAUUAAUUGACUGUUCUUGACUAGCUAUUGUUUCUCAUUGGCAAGAGUCAUUGCCAAUUAUCAUAACAUGUUAGUGAUCUAUUACAACUAGUCUAGCAUCGACAGAGUUGUUAUUUAACCAUUAAAUCAAUUUAUAAAACAUUAUUGACUAGCUAUCUAACACUAGCAACUAAUCACUGAUAAUAUUUAUGCAAAACUUGUAGCUUAAUACGAACUCUCAGAAAUGUGGGUGGGGCAACUCAAAGUACAGGGAGAGUGGUAACCUCUGAUAUAUAACAGAGAAAAUUAACAACAGAAAUCUAGAUACUUCAAUAAAUUAACACACUGACUAAUAAAUCCCCCCCACCAUCAUCCAGUUAUCACAGGUGCAUCUACAAUGAACAGUUCUCGAGAAGAAACUCAAGAAACGCAUAUAAAGCUACAUGAUGACAUAAUAGGAACCUGCAUUGCCUCCAUUCCAUGAUGAAAGUUCAAGAAAUUCUACUUCGAAACUCAAGACAAAGUCUCUCAGACUACAUAUUAGUGGGAUUUCUAUAAACAACUGAUUCUAUUGCAAAGCAACAUUAUGAAAAACUGAAUAUUUCACACAUAGUCUAAUAAAAGUAGGUUCCAUUGUCAAUUCCUUAACAUUUUCCGAACAAAUCACAGUUGCUCCUCGUUUGAUACUUUCUUGAAGGUUUCUUUUCUCUUAUUACCAAUUUCUGUGAGUUUGUGAUUUUUUAUCUGUACCGUAUCAUCCGAUCAAUUACUAGCUAGAACCACACAACUAAUAUGUAAAUUCACAAAUUCCCUACAGUUCAUAUUGCCAACAAACUCCUCUUGCCAUUCCCUAAUUGCACUGAGCCAGCUAAUCUGGAUGAAAGUUAUCGAAGAGGGGAAAAGACAGAUGAAGAUCUGCGCAGGGCUACCUGUUUUGAGAAUUAUGGAUUUUUAUCACUAAAUCAGAACGGCGCCAAUUAUAAGUUCAAUAAGAAAAAAUCUGUAACAGAACAGAUGGAAAAAACUCGAAACAACUUGGCUAGAAUUUAGAAAAGAAAUUCAGAAUGAGCCAAGAUUUUAAGUGAGAUGAAACUUUGUUCUUUGAAAAAAAUAAUUAAUAUGAGAUAUACUUUUCAUUUUAGUGAACCUUAAAGCAGAGCCAACAGUUAAGUAAAAGUUAUCAAUAGCUGUGUAAACCAUUGAAACUGUUACCGUUGGUGCACCCUCGAUUACACCAUGGAUUCACAUAGUGCAAUUGUUAUUUUUUAAAAAAAUUCAAUGUUAUUUUUUUAUUAAUUUGAACCUUUUUUUGUCAACAUGUUUCGCAAUUGGCCUUGGUAUUUUGUUUUCAUUUUCUCUAUGUUGCCUUCUUCUGUAGAUAAAAAACAUCAUGUCUUGGGGCUCGUGCUUGAUAGUGCAAAAUUAAUGACACAAUAAUCAAAGAACACAAAAAUUUUUAUAGGCAAAAGGAAUUGAAGAUGUAAACCCUAGAAUUCGUAAGUUUAUUUUCUCUAAAAUAAUAAUAAUAAAAAUAAUAAUAAAGUCUAUCUUUUUAGGAGGUUUACAAAGCCUUAAUUAAAUAGGUUAAGAACCUUACCCCAACUAGGAAGCAAAAAUAAAAAUCCAAAAUUAUAAAGGAAAGAAGCAUAAAAUCCGAAAUAAAUAAGAAAUCUAAAAAUAAUAAGGAAAAUCACAAAAAUUACCAAAACUAGAGGCCUCAAUGAGAUUUUUGAUAUCUAAAGAUCCGAUGGUCUGCAUAAAAAUUUGAGCACAAUCCAACAAUUAAAUAAAAAAUUAUGACUCUUUUGAGUUGUUAUUCUAGUCUAGCGUGACCAAACCUUCUCUUAGGCUUAAACAUGUUUCAUUGGUCCAUAAAUACAUUUGCUAGGCUAUCAACAUAAUUUAUCUAGGACAAAUCUUAAUCUAGUUAUGACAAACUCACACCUAACUGCUUAGAAUCACUAAUUAUUAUAGGAUUGACUACAUCAAAAUUGGUCGGUUUUUUUGUUUUCAAAGAGAUUUAAACUUGAUGUAGAUGAAAGUUAUAAACACAAUAAUCAAAGAACACCAAAAAAUGUAUGAGCGAAAGAGACUGUAGAUGUGAACCCUCAAAUUCCCAAGUUUAUUUUCUCUAAAAUAAUAAUAAUAAAGUUUGUCUUCUUAGGAGGUUUACAAAACCUUAAAUAUGUUAGGAACCUUACCUCAACUAGGAAACAAAAACAGAAACCCAAAAUUACAAAGGAAAGAAACAUAAAAUCAAAAACAAGCAAGAAAUUAAAAAAAUAACAAGGAAAAUCACAAAAACUACCAAAACUAGAGGCCUAAACAAGAUUUUUUAUAUCUAAAGAUUCGAUGGUUCACGUGAAAAUUUGAGCAUGAUCAAAUAAUCGGAUAAAAAAUUAUAAUUUUUUUAGCUUUUAUUCUAGUUUGACGCGACCAAACUUCUUCUUGAUCCUAAACUUGUUUCAUUGGUCCAUAAAUACAUCUCCAUGACUUUUUUUUUUUGUUUCACUAUAAAUGAAGUUUGACCAUCAUCAUAUAUGGUUUGACUUAGCCGUAUUGGUUUUCAAUUAUAUCAACUUUAUAUAUUAUGGGUUUACAUUUACUAUUUUUUUUAAAAUGCUCACAAGUCCAUUUUUCACACCUCAAACUCAUAACUGCAGCGAUUCGUAGGCAACGAAACUAAUUAGAGACUAGAGAGUAAACAUGCUACUAAAGUUUGCAGGUGAGGGUAUAGAUUAGAUUAUUUGUUGUGUUGUUUCAAAUAUUAGAGCAGUCUCAACUCAUUAAAUAAACAAGUGGUGCAUUGAUCCUUGGACUCAAAUCAUAUAUACACGGUGAGCUCAUUUGUGUUUUUAUUAUUUGUUCCUCCCUGUACUUGUAGCAGGAGAGAAGCUGCUCUCAACUUUGAAGGAAUGCAAACAAUUGUUAAUAUGAAACAUAUUAUGUACAAAUUAUAAUAUUUGUAAGAAGCCGUUUUGCUGCCCACCGGCGGCCAUCUGAUCAGAGAACAAUAUUAUAUUUUUUAAACCCCUUCACUCUCGUAAAAACAAUUUAUAUGAUUAUAAAUAGGAAAGCAUAGAAAAAAAUAGGAUUAAAUAUUUUUAGAGAUUACAUAUUAUUGUUUUAGUUUUUUUUCUUGAUUAGAGAUAAGUUGAAUAAAAGUAGUAAUAAUUUAUUUUUGUGAAAAAAGGUUACUACAACUCCUGAUAAUUAGUUUCAUGUAAAAAAUAAAAAUAAAAAUAGUAACUAAAAUUUAUUUUAGUUAUGUUAAUAAAAUUUUAAAGAUAUUUUAAUUGAAUUAAGUAUUCCAACACAAAAUUUAUGUUCUUAUACAGUUAUAUAUUAAUUCUAACAAAAAAUAUGGUUUCUAUGUUUAGAUUUUGGUAUUAAUAACGCAUACAACAAUGAGGCAGUUAAGUUUCUUCGAUAAAAUAAAAUCAUUUAAAAAAUAAAAAUAAGCUAGUAUGUUUGUUACAUAACAAAAAAAAAUGAUUUUUUCUAAAAAUGAUUUUUUAAAAAAUAAUUUUAAUAGACUGAUAUUAAAAAUAAAUUUUAAAAAAUAAAAAUAUAUAUUAUUUUGAUAUAUUUUCAAGAGAAAAAAAUUAUGAAAAGAAAUUGUUAAUAUUUGAUAUAUUUGAUUUAUGGAGCUAUGAUAAGGGAAUCGUGCUUGUAACACAUAUAACAAUAUUUACAUAGUAACAAGCAUUAUUAAAGAUGCUACACUAGUUGAUUUACAUAUAACAAUAUUUACAUAUAACAAUAUUUACAUAGUAACAAGCAUUAUGUUUCCAAGUGCUAUCAACAAAUAUUAUAACCUCUUAAUUUAUACAAGGAUUGAGCUAAAUUGAUUUAUCAAAUAUUUUAUGUUUUUUUUUUGAAAUAUUGUUAUAGACAUAGAAUCAACAAGUUUAUGUGACAUUCUAUAUUGAUUUUGUGAUAUUUUAAUCACUAAAAGUAUGGGUUUCAGAAAAAUAAAAACCAAACUAAAAAUUGAAAAAAUUAAAAAAUUUCAAACCAACCCAAUCCAAUUUUGUGUUUUUAAAAAUAUCGUAAUGAAAAACACAGCAUUCGAAAAAAAAUACAAUUAAAAAAAAAAUCGUUAGUUUAAGAAAACACCCCCUUCUUUGCAAUUAUUGUCAAUCCCCCACGUGGCUACCCAUAAUUGGACUGUCAAACUGGCAAGCUACAUCCCCAUCUCAAUCAUCACAGCUGUAUAAAUUUCUCGCUCAAGCCAAAAACAGAAACGCACAAAACCCCUCCCCCAACGGAGAAUCAAAUGAUAGCUAGAUGUCUGUGUAACCGACCAAUCGCGUUACCAAAGGAGCCUGCCUAGUACUGACGUGUCACUCUAACAUUUCCAUGACCAUAACAAUAAUAAUCAUAAUCCAACCAUGCCUUACUUUUUUAUUUUGUACCUUAAUAAUCUACAAUUACACUCUUGAAUUAUCCCUCAUUUUUUCAAUGGUAAAGAUAUCCUCGUGUCUGUCACCUUCUACAUUAAGUUUUAUAAAAUUCUUGAUUUUUUUUAAAUUAAUUUUUCAAGUUUUAAUUAUGAAUUGUUUAUGCAAAGAACCAAAAGAAAAAGAAAAAAUUUCUCAAUGUUUUCUGUUACUUGUUUAGCAGGAAAACAUGAAAAAUUAAAUAGAAACAGAACAUCAAAACGAUAGAGAAAACAUGCUGACGAGGAGCAUGAAACUCCACACAUUAAACUAUAAGCACCCACAUGAGUAACCAUUAUGCCCUUGUUUUUGAAGGUUCAGACACUUGAAAGAAACACAAAUGGGCAAACAAACACACGCCCUUAUUUUUCUGGUGCUUCACACAGCAAACACUUAGAUAGAUAAGUCGAUAUCUUCUUUUGGGGGUUCUAUGGUAAAUAAGACUGUUACAAUGUGAAGCCAAUGAAACAGUAGGAAUUACUUCCACCAAUCAAAUUCUUCUUCUUCUCCUCAUUCUUCCCAUCCAUCAUCUCUGGUCCACAUUAUGUAAGUGUUGGUUGGCACCGAGCAAUCAUCGCUUGAAUCCUCAGCUACUUGAGAUAUCUGUAAACCAAUUCAAGCAUGACGUACAUAUUUUAACUUGUAAAUCUUUUUUAUUGAGUGAAACUAGAAAGAAAUCAAAGUCAGAUCAGCAGCACCUUAUAUCGAGCACUCAUUGAACCAUUUGGUGUAGUGUCAAAAUUUGUAGUCAGCUUUGGGCAUUCAGACACCUUCAACUUCUUCAAACGAGGGAACAAGAAAUCAUAAUAUCCGAGAAUGAAGGAGAUAAUGCUUGGUAAUUGUUCUAGCGACAGCUCCCGCAGAUUAGGGAGCACCAUCUCCUCAACAUCGACAGGUAAAGCAUUAAUAUCAUCUUGCCCAAAGACUCCCAAUAAUCUAGAAGCUUUUGUUACUCUAAGUAUUUUGAGCUUCGGGAGACCUGAAGCCAUGGCUAUUGGGAAGAGAUUCUUCAACUUUCUGCAUUCUCUGACCUCAAUUUUACACAAACUAGGAAAGCAUAAAGAUUGAAGAUGACUUACUGACAAUAUCUGAUCCCUUUCAUCAUCAUCUUUAGCAAUGAUUUGCUCAAGUUUCUCGCAUAACCAUAUCUUUAGAACUUUUAGGUGAACUAGACCGGCAAUCAUGCUGUAAGUGAACACAUGUGUGAUUCUCUUACACUCAUUCACCUCUAAAGUAGUCAAAUUACUCAGCACGAGACUCUUCCAUGUACUGCUCAUGCUUGUGUCAGGCAGGGACUUCAAUUUUAAUGUUUCCAGACUUGUUAACCCCUGCAUCAAAAGAAAACAAGGGCACCAAUUUGUUAGAUAUAAUUCAAAGUAAUUUCUGUGCACAUUCAAACUAUAUUUAUCCCAAUACUUCAACCAAAUUCUUAUCACAGAAGGAUACAAACAGACAGGGCAAUAAGGCAUGGGACUGUGAAAUCAUAAGUCGCAGGAGUGAAACAAACAGCUCAUUAUUAACAGACGGAGCUUUAUCGUCCCGUCCACAUACUUUCAUUAUUUGGGGGAAGAACCUCAAUUUCACUGUGAUUGGGAAUGCAUAAAGAUUGAAAAUAUAGGACUCAUUUCAUUACAAUAAGUAAUUUCUAACUUCUUAAGCUCUGCAUCAAGAGACAGGGAAUGAGAUUGUUAGAAAUUUAUCUAAACUGAGUGGAUGGCUAAAGCAUUUAUCUUCACCUAUCAACUACUUCAGUUUUAGAAAUUUGGAGGAAGAAAGAAGAAAUUACCACAAUGUAUCGAAGUUGAGAAUUUAACUUGAAAAGGAAAAAACAUUAGCGGAGAAAUAUAAAGGACGUACUUGAAGCUGUGCCAACAAAUUACCCAAUUCUUCGUGGCCAAGGAUGCUUAGAUUUUGCAGAAAAGGUAAUUGGGCAGCACGAUUCUUUGGACCAAAAAAGCUGGAAUUUGAUUUAGACGAAAGAUCCAUUUCUCUUAGUCGAGGCAACUUGAAGAUGCCAUCUCUGGGGAGUGCAUCUUCUUCCUCGCUAUAAAAUAUUUGCUUUAAAUUGUCAGCAAAUAUAGUCAUCUGUUCCAGGUUCAGAAGACUUGGAGCCACGGAGACAGGGAAGACAUAUUCCAGUUUACCACAGUGUCUAAUUGUCAUCUGUUUCAGGUUCACAAGACUUGGAGACAGAGAGCUAGGGACGACAUAUUCCAGGUUAUCACAGUCAGAUAUAAGUAGAGUUUUUAAUUUUUGGAAGCUUAGAAACUCUGGAAUUAUUGCCCUUUCAUCAUCCUGUUUUCUGACAAUAUACUUCAAUUCAUCGCAACAGCUUACCUCAAGUGUUUCUAGCUGUAGUAGACUUUGAGCGAGGGACGGUGUGAAGAUAAAGGUCAGUUUUGCAAGAAGAAACAACUUCAGAUGAACAAGAUUUUGCGAAAAAGGUAAUGGGGCAGCAACAUUCUUUGGACCAAAAAAGCUGUAAUUUGAUUUAGACGAAAGAUCCAUUUCUCUUAGUUGAGGCAACUUGACAAUGCCAUCGCUGGGGAGUGCAUCUUCUUCCCCGCUAUAAAAUAUUUGCUGUAAAUUGUCAGCAAAUAUAGUCAUCUGUUCCAGGUUCAGAAGACUUGGAGCCACGGAGACAGGGAAGACAUAUUCCAGUUUACCACAGUAUCUAAUUGUCAUCUGUUUCAGGUUCACAAGACUUGGAGACAGAGAGCCAGGGAAGACAUAUUCCAGUUUAUCACAGUCAGAUAUAAAUAGGGUUUUUAAUUUUUGGAAGCUUAGAAACUCUGGAAUUAUUGCCCUUUCAUCAUCCUGUUCUGUGAUGAUAUACUUCAAUUCAGCGCAGCGGCUUACCUCAAGUGUUUCUAGCUGUGGUAGACUUUGAGCGAGGGACGGUGUGAAGAUAAAGGUCAGUUCUGCAAGAAGAAACAACUUCAGAUGAACAAGACUUUGGAGGCUGACAUGUCUGGUGGGCCCCUUCCAUAUACAUUUGAGCUGAAGUAAACGUGACAGCUUUAACGUUAUUAAAGAUGACAGCAGCGGCAGCUCCUUCUCCUCCUUGCUUCCUUCACCCAAUUCAAAUACCUCUUCCAAUGAUUCGCAGCUCUCAAUAUUCACACUCCUUAGAUUUUUCAAAGCUUGCAGCAAUUUUGCUGGAAACAGAGUGCAGAUAUCCUCACACCCAUCCACGUCUACAAAUUCUAAUCUUUGUAAGAAGCCCUUUCGCUGCCCAGAGAACUGAGACAAUGAAUUUAUUAUAUUUUCUAAACCCGCCACCCUUUUAAAAACAAUUUGAGACACAGUAGGAAACAACUGCUCAAAUGUCUUUGCAUUUAAGGAUGUGGCGCUUAUACCACCCAAAAAUAAUCUUGUCGAGGUUGGGUAUCCUACUGGAUCCCCUGUUGAUGAAUAAUAAUUCCCUAAUAUUAUAUCAUAUUUGUACAACCUGGGAAAAACAAAAUCGCUUGGCAUGGAUUUAACCUCCGGUAUCCUCAAUGAUAAUACAGCUAACUGAGACAAUGAAUUUACUUCUUUUAGGCUUGCAUUCAUUAUUCCAGUGCUUGUCCAAACAUCCCAUUCCUUAAAGCUGUCUUUCCCGAUCAGCAGUUCUUCUAAUUUCUUCAACCUUCCAAUCAAAUUCAUAGGAAUUUCUCUUAGACUCUUACAACCUGUCACAUCCAACAACCUUAACUCCUUGAGCUCUCCUACUCCUUCAGGUAAUGUUUCAAUGUAGUAGCACCUCAUAAAACAAAGAAUCCUAAGUCUUUGCAGCUUUCUCAACAAAUUUAGGCCAUUACAUUUACACUCGAUCAAAAGCAAAGAUAGAAGGUUAGAGAAAACUUCAAUUGCUGUCAUCUCUUUAAAAAAACUUCCUGGAACAUUCAAAUCAUCACCCAGUUCUAACAACAGAACUUUGAGCCGUGGACAUGCCAAUGCUUCAGGAAGUUUUGUUAGUUUAUUGCCCAAUAACGAAAUUGUUGUACAGCCUUCAACGCUUUCAAUACUCCUUGGCCACUUCUUCAAUACCAUGAAUCCAUAUUCUUCUGAUGAUGCUAUCUGAAUAGCAACAUCACGAACCAAGUCAUGCAUUUUCACAUGUUCUCCAGUUUCAGUGCCCAACAGCAUGCAAGAAUCUUUGAGGUCUUUGAUAGCUGCAUAAACUUGUUCCCUUGCAUCUUCAAUGGAUUUCACAUCUUGAUGUAACCCAUAGCCGACUGCAUAUCUCGUCAAGUCCUCAAUUGGAAUGUUGUAAUCUUCUGGAAAUAAACAGCAUAGCAAGAAACAUAACUUGGUUUCCUUGGGCUUCAAAUAAUCAUAGCUCAACUUAAGACAUGCAUAUGUUCGUCCAUCAAUUUCUCCCAGGUCUGGAAAUUGAGAGUUUUUGAGCAGUUUAGAUGCUGCUUCCCACUCAUAUGCAUCUUUACCUCUUAGAGCCCUUCCCACUGCUACAAGUGCUGUAGGCAAUCCUUGGCAUUGUCUCACAACCUGCUUUGCCACUAUGUUUAAGGUAGAUUCCCCAUCACUUAAACCUGCAAUGAUUUUGAAUAAAGCCCAUGCUUCAUUUUCAGACAAGAGACUUAAAAAAACUUUUUUCUGGCACCCCAUAUCAGAAGAUAUGUUUUCAAGACGUGUUGUUAAGAGAAUUUUACAACCCCUGUGAUCAUCACCAAAUGGGAUCCCUAUCUCUUUCAAGUUAUUAACUUUCCAAACAUCAUCCAGGAUUAUAAGCAUCUUCUUCUCUCUCAGCAGUCUCUUCCAUAAUCGUUCUGCUCUCCCUUCUUUACUCUUUUCAUCAAAAUGCCGAACUAAACUAUCUGCCAUUCUAUUCUGAAUGUCCAUGACAUCUGGAUUCUGCGACACCGUAACCAUCAAAACUUUAUCAAAAAGCUGCGACUCUGUGGCUAUCCUGCCUACUUCUUUCACCAGGGUGGUUUUACCCACCCCUUCCAUGCCGCACAGUCCGAUCACAUUGACAUUGUCAUCUUUGAGAGCUUUCAUAAUCUGUUUGAAAGCUUCUUUUGAUGAUUCUGCUAUGUUUGCUUUGUGGGACACUGUUUUAAACUUUUUGCUAUUGUCUUCAAGAUUUCUAAAAGUCUCCGUCUUCUUUGCCAAUUCCUUGCUUAACUUGAAUUGUCGUAUCCAAUUUGGACACCAAGUAAAGCAUUUGCCAUUUUUUCCUAUUUCAUUUUCCAAAGGAUUCACACCAUUAAUUUCGUUAUUAGCAUCUUCCAGCCAUUUGGUGACGUCUUUCUCAAUUUCUUCAGCAUUCCUUUCAGCAACGUCGACAGCAUUUUGCAGACGAUCUAGUGCUAAAGCAAGGUUCUGCUUUCGUUCAUUGAAUUCUUUAACACAAUUGUUGAAACCGAACAUGUAGCGGAACUGCCUUAUUGCUGGUUCCACCAAGAGUCCUGCUUUCUUAGAUAUAAUGGAUUCAUCAACACUUUCGAUAGCCAUUUUCCUCCCGUCUGAAUAUCAGAGAAAUAAGGAUGUCGACUGUGAGAGUGAGUAAUUACAAAUAAAACAGGCAUUGAGAGAAUGAGAAUAGGAAUUUUAUUACCUUAAUUUGUGAAAAUAUGUGCGAAAAUCACAGGUACUGUUUGCUCAAUAAAAUAUAGCGAGAAACAGAACAAGAAGGACUUCAGCUCUGUAUGGAAUCCAGCUUAAAAAACAAGUAGUCAAGGUAUAAGUAUACCAAUAAUCAAUUAAUCUCAUCGAUUUCCAUCUAUGUCAUGUAUAAAAGCCAUUUAUUGAUAGCAGUAGAUUUUUUCUUUCUUUCUAAUAUGCAAGUUUACGUUAAUAGGUAUAAUUUUCCGGAUUGAAAUUUGAUAAAAGAUUUCAUAAGCCUUGUUUUUUUUAUGGUGAAAAUGUUAAAUCCAUUGGAGUUUGAAAAAGCCUUCAAAUAAGGCCUAGAAGUAAGUAUUCGGGAUUUGUAACAUUUUUCUAGUAUGACACAUCAACUUCACUUGAUGCAACAAGUAGGACAGAGAAAUAUAAGACUUCAAGAGAAUUGUUUCACUAUAAAAUAGUUGAAAGUUCUUCUAUGAAUACUCAUGUUCUGAAGAUAAUCGGUAAUCGUUAUUUUAUAAAGUGUUGAUUUAGUAUUGUAAUCUUAUUUCAUAGGUAAGAAAUUGAGCCAAUUAACUUUGUCAUUUUAUAAAGGGUUGAUUUGGUAUUGUGAUCGUUAUUUCAAAGCUUUUCUUAGUCCAUUAUCAACUAUCACACUUGCAAACAUUUAUCAUGAAACAUAUAAUGUAUGCAAAAUAUAAAGACAACAACAAAUAACACAAAAACUAGUAGGAACACACUCACCUUAUAGUAGAGACAAACGAAUGAUUAUGAAUGGAAGGUUCACGAUCACUUGCACACUCACACACAUGAUAACUUCUAUCGAUCGAUUCCAACCACAAAUAUAAUUUAUCUAAGGAGUUAUGUAUGUGAUGUUACUAUAGUUAUGGUCUCUCAAGGCCUUUUUCAAAAAAGAAAAAGAAAAGGAUGAACAAGGGGACAUUAACGAAAAGAAUUGAAAAGGAGAAAAGAAUUAGUUGAAUGAAGGAAGCUCUCUGCCACUUCCCUAUAUCACACUCAAUGAACAUGAUUUACCCAUAAAGGAAAAAGAGACAUUCCUUACUUCAAAUUUGCUUUGCUUAUGAAGUAGGCUAAGGACAACAACAUCUGCAAGCUAAAGAGGGAUAAUCAUAAGAUUGUGGUUUGGGACAAAAGAAAGAAUUUUUCCAACAUCCGUCAUCAGUACCGGUGAAUAGGAUAGAAUGAAAGACUUCGGCCCCUUCUAUAUCAGUAUUUUUUAGAAGUUAUUUAAAUUAAAAAGCCAAAAAUAAAUGCAUCUACUGUUGCAGGAAUGGACUAAAAAGUCAGUUAAUCUGCAUAAUUAAAUACUGUUACUGUAAACUACUAGGAAAUUCAUGGGUAAAGCCACAAAAAAAAUGUAAAUUAUACAAGUUAACAAUAGCAUUGAGCAUUAAUUCGAUUAAGUUAAAGCCCUGGUGUGAAUAGAGAGGAUCUUGCCGUUUAAAAAAUAACCAUAGAAACUAUGGAACCCACUAUUUAUUAAUCCAUUUCUAUUUACUAUUUAUUUUUAUUUACUGUAUUUUUAUUUUGAUACCCAGUACCAAUAAAAUUUGAGAUUUCUUCAAUUUUUCAGGUGCAUGCACUAGUCUAAUGGCUUCAUGGUAUUUAUCCUUAACUAUCAGGCUAACCUUUACAGGCUUAGCUAGCAAUCAAUAAUUAAUAUUUUAAUGAAUUCAGUUUUUAUUUAAAAUAAGGAAAAGGACAUUGGUGAAUAAAUAGUUUCCUUAGAGGGCUAAUUUAGAAAAAGAUUUGGAUCACUAGAUCAACUUAUGGGAUACCUGGCCAAGGUCAACCUAUGAGUCAUAAAUCAAUCCAUAUCAAUUAUUUUUAUUAAAAUGAUAAUGUUUUGUUUUUUUUUCUUGAUAUUAAUUUGGCUAAUUUUGAUCAAAUCUUACCAAAUCAGCUGAAUCAGUAAGAACUUAACCAAGUCUGAUUUUAUAGAUCAAUAUUUUAUGUAGUUGAAUUAAAAAUUCAAUUCAAUUCUAGCUCCGAACCCUGAGUUUUGUUUGUUCAAUCUAGCAUACAGGUUUAACAAAUAUGCUUCUCACUUGCAGCUGUGGUUUGCUGCGGGCAUUUGGUAAUUGGGAGAGGCUUUAGUUUCGUACCUGUUGAUCGGGAUUCAUAUACACUUGGACCUCUUAUUUUAUUUUAUACUGGUUGGAUCCAAACUUAAUCCAAUACAAAAUUAACAUAUUUAUUAUUUAUUUAAGAUAAAUGAUAUCGCUUUAACAUAUUAGUGUACACUUAAUAUGAUUAAAUUUAAUUUAAUUAAUUAAAAUCUCACCGUAAAUUUUUUUACCAUUUGCAGCAAAAAAACAGUUGACACCUUAUUAAUAUAAUCAAUAUAGUACAAAAAUUAUAGUGAUUUAAAACAAUUCAUUAAAAUGUUCCUAAAUGUUUUUAUUUUGUGACAAGGGUUUUCGUGUUAUUUGUUAUGUAUUGUCACUGUCAUAAUCUAUUUCUAGAUUAUUUCUUAAAUUCCAUAAUUAGAUUUUUUAUAAGCCAAUUUGAUUUAAUCAUUGGUCAAAUUAAAUUUUAAUUAUGUUUAAAAAUUUAUUUGGAUCUAAUUGAAGGAUUUAAUUAGAUGCAAUGACUUAAUUUUACUUUAAAUAGAUCAAAUUAAUUUUAUUAGGUGGCUUAAUUGGUGAAAAAUUAAGUUUGGAAGCCCAAUUUGGGCUUAAUUGAGAAUAUUGGGAUUUUAGGAGACCAAAUUUAAUUUUUACCAAGUCAAUUGAUUCAAAUCAAGGGUAAAAUUGCAAGAAAAUCAAAGUUUUGGGGUCAAUUAAGGGCUAAAUUAAAGAAAUUCACAGCCAAGAACUAUUUUGCAAAAGACGUCAAACUAUAGGAACUCAAUUGAUUGAAAUCAACGGUGGAAUUGAAGAGAAUUGAAAGUUUAAGAAUCAAUUGAGGGUUAAAUUGAAUAAAUCCAAGACCAAUGACCAAAAUGAAAUAGGUGAUGAAAUUCGAGGCUGAUAUUGAAGUUCGGCAAGGGCAAAACUACUUAAAAUUAGAAGUUUAGGGUCAAUUAGGGGUGCAAUUCAAAGAAAUUAAAAGCUGGAGGACUAAACUGAACUUUGACCAAACCCCUAAAAUCAAACCUUAAGAGCCAAAACGAUGAUGUUUCAUUUAAAUGGAACAACACAAUUUGACCAAAACAACGCCAUUUUGACAAAACAGAAUCAAAACAAAAGGGGUAGACCAGAAGACGCAUUAUCUAGAUUGUUCAUCUUCUUCAUCAUUAGCCUCCCAGAAAGCUUCUCAAAUGGCUAAUUUCUCAAAGCAUUUAAUGUCUUGUCUCUCCACCAAAUUUGAAAACAUUUGCACGCAAUUAGUGGCCUAACGUCUGGUGUGGUCCUUUAUGGCCGAUUGAUGCCAUAGUGGUUGUGGCAUCGCCCUAAAGUGGCCAACCCGACCAGCCCUUCUGUAGUAACUUGUCAGGCCAUGAUUGCAACUUUAAAUCAAUUGUUGGGAUCCUACAAAGUUGAAUUAGAGGCCAAGAUUUGAAACCAUUAAAGACAAAAUGCCCCUCUUCCACACCCUAUAAAUAGAGGUGGAUUUCAUGACCUAAGGGAGGAAACAAUCGGGUCCAAAGUUGAUAAACAAUCAGCCUUCCCCCUAGUAUUUUAUAUGCCAUCAUAAUUUUUUUCUUCUUCUUCGCUGUCGUGAACUCGGCUUCUUUAGCCACCACAACCUCACCAACAACGUGACCUUUGGUGGCCCAGCACCCUUGCCACUCCAUCCCCUUGCCACUCCAUCACCUUGCCACUCCUCCCUUCUCCCUUAGACAAUAACCUCCGCAAGCUUCUUCUUUUUCAUCCCAAACCAAUAAUGACCCCUGCACCUUCAACCUCCACUCACUAGUAACAACACCAGCAACUCUAGCAAACCAAUAAUUGCCACCAUUUCAGUUUUGUUCUUCUCCAACACCGGCAGCAGUAGCAGCAGCAGCAGCUCCAACCACGCCAAUGUUUUCUCCUUUUUCUCUCUUCAACAGCCAACACCGCCCACCACCGUCUCCACCAACGGCUCCGACAGUAGUCGACAAAAAGACCAAUCAGCCACUCCUUCUGUAAUAUCCCAAUUUUGGAUUCUCCAAAAUUUUCUUGAAUGUUAUUUUUAUUUCUAUUUUCAUUCAUAAAAAUCCAAAAAAAGUUAAGAAAAAAAGUUUAAAAUUCAAAAAUAUAUUUUUCUCAGGUCAACCACCUUUUCCAUGAAAAUGAGCUUAUUGGGUUAAUACGAGUCAAGCCAUGUUGACCAAGGUAAAAAAUAAGUUUUAGGCCAUUUGGGGUCAAAACAAUCAUUUUCGGUCAAAACUGAGUCAAUCAGGUCAAUAUGAGUCAAACCAUGUCAACCAGGGUAAAAAAUGAGUUUCAGGCUGUUUUGGGUCAAAAGCCAUCAUUUUUGGUCAAAACCGAGUCCAUCAGGUCAAUAAGAGUCAAUCCAUGUCGGUCGAGGUAAAAAAAAGAGUUUCAGACCAUUACGGGUCAAAACCAAGUCCAUCGGGUCAAUACAGGUCAAACCAUGUUGACUGGGAUAAAAAUUGAGUUCCAAGCUAUUUUGGGUCAAAACUGUUAUUUUCGGUCAAAACCCGAUCAAUCGGGUUGAUCCUAGUUGAAAAAUAUUUUUUAAUGUUUGAAAUUAUUUUUCCAGUAAUCAAAAUUGAAUUUUAGCGGUGGAAACGAGUUUUUUCUAAUACUAAUUCGAGUUUUUAGUUUUAUCCAUUUAUAUAUAUAAAAUAAAACAAAUCAAUAAUGCAAAAGUUUUAUUAUAGUAGCUGGGACAGGUCAAAACAUUUCUUCAGGACAGCGCCGUGCCCUCUGGUUAUAAACAUUCGUGUCCCCUCAGCAUCAACAUUGGCUAUAAAAGGCAGUGAAAUUUUACUAAAAAAAGAGAAAAAAGGAGAAGAAAAAAAGAAGACGUGAAUCCGAAUGAUAAUACUAUUCAUGUUUUUUUAGUUUUUUCUUCACACGAGUAAGUUAUUGAUUUUUUUUAAAACAAUUCAAAAAAUACCAAAACUAUCAUGACCUUUAGAUCUAAUAAUAUCUUAUCUAAUACAUCUUAACACACUCGAUGAAAACCCAAAACCAUCUCAGCCCUUAACCAAAUCUGCCCUUGGAUCUAAUUUUUCCACGUCACUAGGUGUACCAACAAUCCUGUGCAGCUAUCACACCGAAGCCAAUAUCUGUCCAUCAGGACCGACUGAUCAAAUUUUGAUCGAGCCAACCAUAGCCGAAGGAUCAAUUUAGAAGUAAUCCAGCGGUCCAAAAGCUUUAGGUGCACCAGAUUACCACUCUCCCCUCUCGCCGACGAUUCUCUCUCUCUCAUCAGAUCUCCCAACUUCGGCCACAUAAAGACUCCGGACCACCACAAAAAGGUUCCUCACCUCUACGCAAGCAAACCCAUGCAUUUUGCAUCGCCUUCGACAUCACAUCUUGCCAGUAAAAGGCUGCGACGUCUUCGGCCACCCGAAGAUUCAAGCUGUCGAUUCUCUCUCAUCAACCAUCAACGGCCAACGAAAAAACCAUCAUCAUAAUCCUCUCUUCUAGAUAUACCAGAAGCUACCCUUUUUGGCUCAGAAUCCCGCCGAAGAAUUUCACUCCUCCAACAGUGGUCGCGCAUAAGCUACACGCGCCACCAGGGUUGUUUUCAUAAUUUCCUGAGAAUUUCAGGGAUAUUUCAGUCUUUUCCCCUACAGUGUAACUCAGGUAAUUUUGGGGUUCCUAGGGAUAUUUUAUUUGUUUUUCACAAGUAUUUAUAAACUUUUCUUUGUAUGUAAAAUACCCAAAAUAAAUAUAAAGAAGAAUGACAAGGCAGGUCCGAGACUUAUUUUAUCCCGUCAUCAUGCGCGGGUCCAAAGACUAAUUCUUAAAUAUGGGUUAUGCCAAUUUUUUUUAGCAAUUAUAACAUAAUCUUCUUUUUCAUGAAUGAAUGUUAUUCGUCAACAUGUCUCCUUUUACAAAUAAAUACCAAUGUUAAAAGUUUAAAAACAAAUAUGAAUUAUGUUCAUUAUGUUUUUUUACAACUUGAACGCAAUUCUUCUUUUUAGGAUUAAACGUCAACAUUUCAACAAGUCUCCUAAUUUUAGGGACUGAUGUCAACCCUCUAAAAAAAUAAAUUACAAAUAAGCUCAAAAGAUCAUAGCAUUUGAAUAAAAUAAAAAACACAAGUAAGGGUAACCUUUCUCUUGAAAAGAUGUUUUGAGGGUGGUGUUUAUCUUCCCUUAAUCAUAAGUAACUCAGUAUCUGAAUUUCUUGGACCAAUGUCUAAUUUGAAAUUUCUAGUUUCCCUCAAAUUAUUAGAAGGUGACUCCAAUAAAAUCUUCAUUUCCUCAAUUAAUCUUUUUAUUAAUAAAAAAAAUGGAGCCACUGUUUUCACGUCAUGUAUCGAUAGAAUACCCAUUGAUCUAUAUAAAACUAAAGAAAAACUUAUUCAAGAUCAUGUUAUAUUGACUAUGAAAAGUUGACAUGGGCCAAUUAUUAUGGGAUUGAGGGAGAAAUAAAUACUAAAUUCUGGGAAUUAGGGUGCUUAAGUAAAAAAAAAUGAGCAAAAACUUUCAUAGAUAGGUAAGAAUGAAAUUGCCUAACUUGUCCAAAACUAUUUAUGACAAGCUUGAAUACCAAGAUACUCUAAAGCAAUACAACAAAACCAUACACAUUUCUAUUUUCUUAAUUUGUAAUUUAGCAAUUAGUGGUAUCCUUGGCCAAGCUUGUGCAAAUCAAGACAACGUCCACCUCCCUAGUUUGGUCUAAAGCAUACAAUCUAUGCUAGGACUAGAGGUAUCAAGGGGAAAUAAAUCAUCAUAGCUACUAGUUUGGUCAAAAACAUACAAUCUAUGCUAGGACUAGAGUUAUUUGACUGCAAUUGGAACGCUGAUUAGUACUUAAAACUGUAUUUUUAUCAAGGUUUUAUAUCAUCUUUUUGCACUUGAAGUAUCAAUAACUCCUUAACUAAAGCAUGUUUUAUAAUAACAUAUCUAAUAAUAUAAGAUAGCUUUAAUUUAUGGUAAAUGUUCAUCCUAAAUUCAGGCCUAUCACAUAAAUAAAAGGAUUGAUUGAUGAGUUUAAGUAUUGAAAUUGAAAGGACAAAGAGAGGGUCAAACUUAGAAAAGAGAUGCUGGUGCAAUCCAAACUGGAACACUAUUUGGAAAUUAGGUCAUAUCUGGAGCUGUAGAUCUCGGAUUUAGGUCCACUUUAUAUGGAUGGAAAGGUAAGAAAUGGGCCUACAACUUUCAUGUGGAGCCCAAGAUUUAAAAAAGCCGUUUUCAAGUGCAAAUUAUAUCAACAACGAAGAAGUUUGAAUCUGUCUUGCAGCCUAAACACUGUUCAGUGUUCAGCCCAUAUCUUGAGUUCUAGAAGUCUACAUGACCUUAAUUUUUUUUCCUGGAAAGCUGAGACAAUUUCCUAGAACUUUCAUGAGUAAAGUUGGUUCAAAUUCUGACAUUAUCAAUGAUGUUCUAUUCAGACAAGAAGAUAAGGAUUGUCACCAAGUCAAGAUGUGGCCACCCACUCAUCAAUUAUUCAUCAAAUCAAUAGUUCCAAAUUUUGACCUAUAAAAGAAGGCAUUUACCAUGUAUUUAGGCAUCUUGGUUUUCAGAUCAAGAUCAUGCUCUUGCUUUCUCUCUUUGUAUUUUCGCAAUACUUAAGUUUUGCUUUCAUUAAUAUCUAGUUUAUGCUUUUCAUUUCCUUUCCUUUACUUAGUUAACUUUAUCUUGUUUAUGCUUUUAUCUUGUUCAUUUAUGUUUCUUUCUUUUAUUAUGUUUAGCUAAGUUUAUUAUGUCAAGGUUAAAAGGUUACACUAAUGGUGUAAGAAUAAGUAUAGUGUAAACUCAUCAUGGACUUUAAUGUUUGAUACUAACAUGUUUUAUAUUUGUUAUCUUGUUCACUUUUAAUACUUUGCUUGUUAAAUGGUCAAUCUAGAUUUAUGUUAUAUAACCCUUGGUACAACAAAUACUUGGCACUUUCAUUGCCCAAACCGUAUGGUAUAAUCAACACCUGAGCUAUGAAAGGAACUUGAUUUGUUGUUAACAUAAGUUAUAAUCAUGAAUGCCUAACAACAUUUACAAAUAUUAGCAUUAUUCAAAAAAGAUAACUAAUGUAAUCAUGUUAACAAUUUAUAAUCCGAUUGGAACCUCCUUUGUGUGUGGUUUCCAGUUGAAUAAUAAGAGUUUAUACUAUACUUGUUUGAAAUACCAUUAGUGGAUCCUCUAACCUUGACAAUUAUUUUUAUCAUUAUUUAGUCCUCACAUUAAUCUUACAUCUCAAAGUUCUCAUCAACUUCUUCUUAUUCUUCUUCUUUAUUAUUAGUAUUAUUAUUAUUAUUAUUAUUAUUAACAUUAAUAUUAGUAUUAUUGUUGUUGUUGUUGCUACUACUGUUGUUGUUGUCGUCGUCGUCUAUAAUUUAUACAAUUAACCUCCCUGUGGUUCGACCCCGGUCUUGCCGGAUUAUUUAUUACUUCGACACUCCUGCACUUGGGAGAAGAUAUCAAUCUUUUGAUCAUGUCAAAAGCUCAUAUUAAUUGAUUUAUGGUGCUAAGAUACAUAAAUUAUAGUCACUAUCACCAUCAUUAUUAUCAUCAAAUUUAUAAUUAAUUUCAUUUUUCAGUAAAAGAUAAUAUCAUCUGUAUCCAAUGAUUGCCAACUUCACCACAGAUUUAACAUUUCUAUAGUUAACAUUUCUUUUGCAUGUUAGGAUUUCAAUACUAAUGAGUGUAUUUUCUAAAGUUGAAAUAGUGCUACCCAAUCUAGGUUCAAGUGGGAUGAUGAAUUAAAGAGCAGUUGUUAUUUCAAUACUAAUGGCUCAUAUUUGAUUUAUGGAGCUAUGAUUAGGGAAUCGUGCUUGUAUCACAUAUAACAAUAUUUACAUAGCAACAAGCAUUAUUAAAGAUGAUACACUAGUAAGUUUCCAAAUGCUAUCAACAAAUAUUAUAACCUCUUAAUUUAUAUAAGGAUUGAGCUAAAUUGCUUUAUCAAAUAUUUUUUUUUUUUGAAAUAUUAUAUAGACAUAGAAUCAACAAGAUUAUGUGACAUUCUAUAUUGAUUUUGUGAUAUAACGCAUAUUACAGUGCACAUUGAUAGAGUGAGUCUGGGUGGACAAACUUUUGGUGGUACACGUGGUGCUUAAUGAUUUGACGGCUAUGGAGAGAAGUUACAUGAGGGAAAUAAGGUGGAAAAAGUGGCCUCUCUAGAUUUUGGAAAUGUUCUCCGAAGAAAGAAGGAAAAUAAUUUCAAAGGUGGAUAAAAAUGGGGUAAUAUCAGAUUUGGAACAUAAUCUUGGUUGGUGAAGAAUAACAUAAUCUAAGGAGAAAUCUAGGGCA